GUGGAGGAGGAGUAUUCUCUUCUUCCUUGACUUCAACAGCGGCGGGUGCAUCCGUUUCUACCUUGGGUUCUUCUGAAAUUGCAGCAGCAGGUGUCUCUUCCUCUUUUUCUUCUUUUUUCUCUUCCUUGUUUUCUUCUUCUUCUUUCUUUGGCUCAGGCUCAGGCUCAGCUACAGGUUUUUCUUCUGCUUUGGGUUUGGCAGUGAACUCGUGGUUGUUAAGGGCUUCUUGAAUAAGCUGCUUAAGCUCAUCAAGGGCCUUCUUUUGAGGCUCAGGAAGUUCACCAGCGAUAUUAGUUUCCUCUUUGAAAGAAACAGACUGGGUUAUCUUAGUUUCUUCCUUUUCUUCAACCUUGGGCUUCUCAACUUCAACAGCUUCUUCUUCAACAGCAACAACAGCCGGCUUCUCGGGCACCUCAGGUUCCGGCAGGGGAGCAGGUGCGGAGGGUUGUGGCUCUUUCUCAGUAACUUGAGGCUUCUCGACAACCACAGACACCUCCUGGGCGGGGGCAGCAGGUGCAGAUUCAGAGUCAAGAGUCUCCUGGGCCAUGGGUAAGUAAGAGAGGAAGAAUGAAAGUUGUAAGAAAGGGAGAAGAAUGAAGAGGGGGCUUAAAAAUGGAAGAAACAAGAGUGUGAGAGUGGAAUGACAGCUAGCUUAUCUUAUAGGAGUGAGUUAAGGAGUGGACCCCCGACAUUGUUCCUCUUCCAUUUCCAAACCGCUAUCUUUGCCACUUCUUAUGCGCUGCCAUUUUCCCUUUUUUUCACUAAUUUUCAUUUUUUUUUUCUGUUCAAUCUUGGCGUUACAUCUGCGCUUAUUUUGGUAAUCAAUCCCUACAUACGGUUAAGUUUCAAGUCCAAAUACAUUCAGCUCAAUAUUUUAAUUAAAAAAUUACUCUUGCGUAUAACAUUUUUUACUGUCAAUUACAAAUAGAUUUUUUUACUCAAAAAAAUCUACGUGUAGUGUGUCAGCCAAUAAUGGAAGAACAAAAAUACUAAUAAUAGAGGGGAUUUCUUGUCACACCUCUGGCAUACCUUUAUUUAUUUUCACUAUCCAUUUAAAAUUAUCAUUUUUAUUUAAAUUUAAAUAAGUUGAGGUGGAAAAUAAAAAUAAAAAAAUUUUGAGGUGACCCACUUAUGACACAAGGAGUUGUAAUUAUUUUGUUUAUAAAGUUGAAAGUUAUCAAGAUUUGAAUUUUAAACAUUGUGCUUAAUUUGUUGAAAUUAAUUCAAACUAAAACAGGAAAAAUGAGAGUGAAGCCACCUCAUCGUGAGGUAUGCAAUUUGCAAAUCUUACUUGGGAUUUAAAAUUCUAAUUACAAAGAUUAUUUCCUUUCACCCUUGCCUUUUCUACCAAAAAAAAAUAAUAUUAUAUUACCAAAUUUAAAAUUAUAUUCCUUAAGCACAUCACAAAUAUAUUUAUAUAUUUAUUUUUAGUUUAAAUUAAUAAAUCAUUUCUUGUUUGGUUAUAUUUUAACAUUUUUAUCUAAAUUAACAUCUAUGUCAAAAUUAAAUAAUAUUAAAAAUUAUUAACUCUUUAUAAAAUCAUAUUGCAUCCAAAUAUUUUUAUUUUAAAAAAUAAUAACUGAUUGUUAAUAUCUAGAAAACGAAUUUUAAAAAAGAUUUCAAAAAAAAAAAAGAAUGAUAAUUUUUUUUUAAUUUCUUAAAAAUAAAUUUAAAAUUAGAAACUUCAGAGUCCAAAAAUGAUCUCUUAUUUCCUAUUUUUAUAUUAUUUUAGGAUUAAUAAAUUUUUAUUUGAUUAUGGGAUCUGUUUUAGUGUAGAUAUAAAGAAGAUCGGAAGUUCUUACCCUAUUCUCUUCUGUCUUGAGUUACAAUCCUCUUUUAAAAAAUUAAAACCUUAAAAGCAUCUUACUGGACAAAAAGCCUUAAUUUUUCUAGUUUUUCUACUUGUCAGAAAAUGGCUACUUUAAGGUUUCAAAAAUAGCUUGUAAUAUAUUAAAUCUUAAAUAUGGAAAAAUUUCUCUUCCUUCUUUUUCAAUUUUGUUCUUAUUAGAUUUUAUUACAAUUGUAUUUUAUUAUUAUAAAACUUUAUUUUAUAAUUUAAAAAAUUAUAUAGAUGUAUGCGAGACCUGUGGGGAAAUUUAUUAGUGAAAUAUAAAAUGAUACAAAAGUUGUUUGUCACUUUUUUAGAAAGAUGGGAUUUGAAAUGCAUAAAUUUCACUUUUUACGCAACGAAACAACUAUAACGUUAGAGGAUGUCACUUUAAUAACCAACCUUUUAAUGGGUGGGCAGACGAUAAUCAAAGAUAGUAACAUAGACCUAGAGUUAUUAUGUUAUCCGUUGUUGGGUGUUAUGCCAACCAAGAAAAGAAAAAAUACAUUGAGAAUCAGGUGAAAUGCACAAGAUUGUAGAAACCUAUCAAACCAACCAUUCUACAUAAAUGAGUUAGUAAAAUAUAACACCAAAAAUAUAAGAGAUUAAAACGAUGGUGUUUGCAAGUAUAUAGGUCAAAUUGUAAUAUAAUUUAGUACAAUGAAAUACUUGGGAAGUAUUCCUAAAAUUGUACCCAAGGUAGGAUGGAAAAAAUUAUGAAAACUUUUUUGCAAUAACAAAUCUAAGUAGUAGUAAUUAAUUCCUAUAUUAUGAUAAAGCAUAAAGUAGAUUAAAGAGACAAAUCAAUUAACUAAAAUAAAUAAACAAGGAAAAAUAAAUAAACAAUUUAAAUCAAAUAACCAAUCAAGAAGAUUGACUCACUUCAGGAUUUGUAAUUAACUUUGGUCAGGGUUUUAGGGUGGAUUAGCUAACGAUUAAUCAAUUAUUACCUCCCGACCUCUAAUUAACUAAUCGAUUGGUUGAUACUCGCUUAUCUCCCGAAUUUUGUCUAGCCUAUGAUAGUUUCCUAAGGUUGUCAUCUUAGUGGUUUAAGCACACACAUAAUCUAUACUAACUAACCCUCUUCAGAAAACCCUAAACCCUAAUAGAUCAAGUGACAUUUUUAUAUUGACAUAUAUAUAAUUAAAAUUUAAAAGUAAAAUAAAAUCACACCUAAUUUCAAAAAAAAAAAUAUAGACAAGUAUAAAAUUGUGGACAAAAUAUAACCAGGAAAUUGUGGAAAAAAUUACAAUAACGUGGAUUAAAAUAUUAAUUCUAACAUUUUUUUUUAUAGGGAAAAAAGAAGAAGAGAACUUUCCAUGGGGCAAUAGAAGAGUUUAAAGACAAAAAGACUAGGUACAAAUCUGAUCAAAUAUCACUCAAAUUGAUUUGAAAACUAGAAUGAAGCAAAUAAUAAUUCAAAAUGAUAUUGAUUGGUAAUUAGGGAAAUGUCAAAUUAAUUGAUGAAUGAAACUGAAACGGGGGUAUGCUUUUUUUAAUCUUGGAAACAAUGUGCGGUAUAAGCUUAAGAUAAUGUCAAAUCCUUCAUUGCACGAUGUCUACCAAGACAAGACAAAUUCACUAAAACAGUGAUGUUAUUACAACAUUGUUUUGUUGACAACUUUCUUAACAUCUCACUUGAUAAAAAGCAAUUUAAAUAUUUAAAAAGAAAUAACAUUAUUCAUCUAGUUUUCCUAAAAUCUAAUAUACUCAAUUUUCUUUUCUCAUCAACUAUUUUUACAUUUUAUAAGUAUGAUUUUUACAUUUUAUGUUGGGUUAAUUACUUUUAAAGUUAAAUUAUAAAGUAACAAUUUUAAAUGUAGAAUAUGUUCUAAGUUUUUGUGUUUUUCAAAUAUUUAAAAUUUAGUUACCAUAUUUUUAUUUUUAAAAAUUUAAUCUCUUUAUUUUUUCAAAUUUAAAAAUUCAUUUUUACUGAUUGAAACCGUUAAAUUUUUUUUGUUACAUUCGUUGAUAUGAUGUUUUGAAAAUAAAAAAAAACUUACUUGAUAAUUAUAUAACAAAAAUAAUAUUGUAAUAAAUUUUAAUUAAAUAGAAAAUUUAAACCAUAUUAGCAAUUAUUAAAAUUCACACAAGUAUUUAAAUCAGAAUAAAGUAUCUAAAUUAACUAAUAAUAUUACAAAUAUUAAGUUACCGAAAUUAUGUCAAAAAUUAAAUAUUAAAUUUAAGAAUAGAAUAAGAACUAAAAUUAAAACUGAAUCAUUAUUAUAUAAUCUUAAAAAGUAAAGAAAUUAGAAUUGAAAAUUAAUAUCGUUUUAUAAUUUCAAGAAAAAGAAGAAGAGAAAUAUAAUGAACAGGUGUGUCAAGGAGGGCGUUACGAUUUCCUUAUAUAUAGUAGUAAUAGUUCAGUUAAUUGCAUCAAAUAUUUUUAAAUUAAAUAUUCUUUUUAAAUUAGUUUUUAAAUUUUAAAAUACUUUGUUAUAUCUUUAAACUUAUCAAUGUUAUAACAAUAAAGUUAUUUACUUAAUUUAAUUAUUUAGAUCUUAUGUGACAUAAUUUAAAAUAAAAAUUUAAAAAAAAAUUGAAUGCUGUAAAAAUAGAUAUGAUAAAAAUCUUAAUUUUUAAGUUUUCGAAGGUUUUACAAAAAUUAUGGUUCAUUCUCUUUUUUUUUGGUUUUACUUUAUUUUUAAUUUUUAAUUUUAAAAGUUAUGCGUCAACAUUUUACUUUUCUUUAAAAUUUUCAUUUUAAAUUAUUUUAAAUUACAUCAUAUAAUAUUUUACGUAUCAUUUAAUUGUUAAAUCAACAGUUUUAAUAAUGAAAAGUCCUACUUGAUAAAAUAUUGAUAAUUUAAAAUGUAAUUAGGAUAUUUUUAAAAUUUGAAACUCAAUUUAAAAUAUAAAUGGUAAUUUGAGAUCUUUGGUACAACUAACUCUAUUUUCCUCCUUUCACUUAAAAUGAGGUUUUUUUUUUAACAAUUUCAUUAUAGAUUCUAAUAAUAUCUAUUUUUUUAUAUAAUAUUUAAAAUUAUCAAUAGCCUAUCUUUAACCUAUAAAUAAAAAAAUAAUACGCUUUAAUAUACUCAAACUCACAUUCUCUUACAUUAAUAAUAAUAUCAAUGUCAAUUGAACUAAAACUCUAUAUCCUGUUCAUUUAAAGAGUUGGAGUGUUAUUAUCUAUUAGUUUUGAAUGAAUUUAUAUAUUUUUAUACUAUUUCUUAUUUUGAUUUAUUUUAUAUGCUGAGAAUAUAGUUUUAAAUUUACCGGAAUAUAUAUUUCAUGGCAAUGAUUUCCGGCACGUGUUAUAACGAUGACCCUGGUUCUGCCACGUGUCUAAGCCCUAGAAACAGGCUGUUAUUUUAUCAAAACCGCAGUUCUUUCUUUUAAAAUUUGAGAAAUCUCAUGAUAUCUUUGGUAAAAAAAAGAAAAAAAAAGCCGGCCUAUAAAUUUGAAAAAAAAAACAAACAGAUUGAAAUAGUUGGGACCCACGCCAAUUGGGCAAGUGGUUUUUUAUUUCCUUUGCUUCUUAAAGCAAACCCAAAGCUGUCUGGUUUUUCUUUGCUGUCCUUUUGAGGGUCCCUUUCCAUAGUUUUUCGAAUUUUAAAAAUUCAAAAUUGUUUUAUAUAUUUUUUAUUUGUUUCAGUUAAAAUAACAAUAAUAAUUAAUGGACCGUUUGAAAUAAAGAAAAGACAAAAGACAGCGAAAUUGAGUAGAGAACAUAGGAACGUGCCAGGGCUGAUUGUUGUGUCGGGACCCACAACAGGAAGGCUAAAUGUUCGAUUUGGCUCUGCUCUGCACUUGUUUACAUUAUUACUACCUUUGUUUUUAUUCUUAUUUAUAGUUAUUGUCUUAUUGCUUUAUAAUUAAUUUUAUUAUAUUCUUUUUGCUUAAUACAAUAUUUAUUAUCUUUUCUUCAUUUUGUACCUAAAAUUUUUUGAGCCCAAUUCAGUCUAUAAAUUUAAUAUUUUUUAAUUGGAUACAUAAGUUUUUUAAAUUCAAUUUAGUACUUAAAUUUAUUAAAUAUUAUACAAAUGAUGCAAAACACUAAUAUUGUUUUUUUGUUAUGCUACAAAAUAUUGCCAAUAUUAGAGAAAAUUCAUGUUAAAAAAUAAGUAUUGAGCUAUGUUUAACGAAUUAAUAUUAAACAAGAUUUUAAAAAAACUCAAAUUAAAAUAAAUUCAUUAUUUUCAAUUAAUAAAACUGAAAUUAAUUGAGCAUAUAAAAUACAAAAAAAUCAUAUAAUCUGUCACAUGUCGGUCAUACAUUGAUUAUUUUUGCAACCUCAUAAAUAAAACAAUGUUGUUAGCAUAUUAGAAUAAUUUGUAAAACGUUUGGCAAGUACCAAAUCGAACAAAAAAAAAGAGUAGGUAUCAAAUUAGGAAAGAGUCGAAUUCAAGCACCAGAUUGGACCCCAAAAAAGUUUAAGUUCCAACUUAAGAAAAAGUGUCAAGUUUAGGUAUCAAAUUAGAAAAAAUUGUCAAGUUUAGGUACCAAAUAAGACAAAAAAAAAUUUAGGUACUAAAUUUGAAAAAAAAUGUUAAGUUCAGAUACCAAAUAUUAUAUUAAACCUAUUAUUUUAUCAAUUUUAAAAUAUUUAUUAAUUACAUUCAUAUAUAUAUAGAUCACUUUAAUUGAUUAAUUAAUUAAUGUCUUUGAUGUAUAAAAUGUUGUAUGUUGCGUCUUGACUUGUAAAUAACAAUAAUUAAAUAUCUAUUUAAUAUGAAUUCAAACUGUAUGAUAUAUUUCUAGUUUUUAACUUAAUUUAAUUUAAUUCCAGCUAUAUAUAUUUAUAAAUUGGGUGGGUGGUUUUGUGUGAAUUUUGAUUUGGAAGCCUAUAAAUACUAGAGUAGUUUUCAUUUAAUUUUGGAUAUUCGUUAGGUGUAAAUUAUUGAUGGAAUCAUAGUGGAGUUUAGACUUUAGAUAACGCAUUCAUAAAUAAAUGAAUAUAUAAAUAGAAAGAGCAGGCAUUCCUUAAUUCAUUUUUCUCAUAUUAAAUGAAAUUUCAGGCCUAUUAACUACCAUGACCAAAAAUGUUCAUCCUCAUUUUCUUUCCUUUUUACUUUUUUAUUUCCUACCAAGCACCUUCAAUUUUUUUUUUUUUAACUUCUUCAUCCAAUCAAACUUAUUAAUCAAAUUUUAAAUUAAAAAUACAAAAAAAUUAUUUUCAACAAAAAUGAAUAUAGAAAAAAAAGAUAAAAAGAACUCCUAAAAUCCCUAAAAAGUAAAAACUCUUCCAUUUAAAGAAAAUUAACAUCAUAACUUUACUUUUCUCGAUUAAAAUUCAUCCCUCUCAUGGGACCCAUAGUCAUUUUUGACCAAUAAGGACUUGACACAAAUCCUAAAUUUAGAAGUUUUAAAUUAAGUUAGAGAUUUAUUAUGUAAAAAUAAAUUGUUCCAAUUAUUUAUUCGUUUGUUUGUGUUGUACACAUUGUUCCAAUUUUUAAUCUAUUUGUAAAGAUUUAAAAAAUCAAUGUUGAGUUUGUCAUCAUCAUAAUGGAACACAAUGGAAUCAAAAUGAAAGUAUGUUGAAUUGAGUGAUUAUAAAAGGUUGUUGGGGUCGUUUAAUUGAAUGGAGUCUUGUAUUAAAUUUUAGGAAUAAAGAUUUCAUAUGUGUUUCUACUAUAAGGUGGGAAUUAAUUUAGUCCAUAUAUCGAGAGAGAACAAAAGAAAAAGACAAUUGAUUCAUAAUCUAUUUAAGUUAAGAGCAAUUUGCUCCCUUUCAAAUAAACCAAUUUUGUUCAAUUAUUUACUUUUGUAAACAUUGUAAAAAUCAUCUAUAAAUAUACUUAUAUUGCUUGGUUUACUUUUAAAUUUUUAAAAUUAUUAUAAUUAAUAAUAUUUCAAAACAUUCAUAAAAAAAAAACAAUUAAUGAAUUUUUAUUUAAUUUUUUAGAAUAUUCUAUAAUUUUAUGAAGUUAUAUAUUUUAUUAAAAAAAUUUAUUUCUUUUUUUUAAAUUCAAUCAAUUGCUCAUUUCCACGACCAUGUUUUUACAUAUGCCUUUUGACCUUUUCAAACCUCUUAUCUUUUCUUCGGAACUUAAGUUUUUAUUAACACAAAAAUUAGUUAUUUGAAUGAAAAUCCAAUAUGGAUUCAUGGGGAAGACGAAGGGCUUGGUCUUCAAAUCUAAUGAAAACAAGAAGCUCUUCCUCCCACCUAGUAGGUUUUAGAAAAUAUCAGAACUCACUUCAAACAAUAUUAAAAUAUUAAAGUUUAAAUUGAAUAAUUCAAAUUGUAAAAAAAAAAUUCUAUAAAAAAGAAUAGGAUAAAACUUUUCAAACCAAAAUUUUUUAUUAACGAAAAUUGUUAACAUCACAUUAAAUUUUUUAUUUACUCAAUUUUAAAUAUUAUAAAGACGAAAUGAAUUGCUCCAUGCAUUAUAGUUUAUGAAUGAAAAUAAUAUCGAGAUUAAAAGCUACUUAUAUUGUUUUAUAUAUAAAUAAAGAGUAAUAGUGAGACAGGUAGGAUCCAACUAACAUCAAAAAUGGUCAAAUACGUAAUCAUAAAUCAUUGUAAUCACAAGAAUCCACCGAUUUUGGUUUUUAUUUGUUUUGUUGUCAAAACUGCAAGUAUGUUGGUAUAACGUUCUAAGAACGCAAUGUUUUGCAUGUUAAGAGUUGAAGGAAUACAGCUGGGUAUGAGAAAUAUAGACCUCCAUUAUACAUACAUACUCAACACACAACCUACUUACUUCAACUGUUUAUGGAACACCACACCCAUUACCUUUGUUUCUCAAUAAAUAAUCCUUUUUUUAUAUUUUAUAUUUUUUUUUGUUUACUUCCAAGUUUUAAUAAAUAAUUAAGAUUAAAAUGUCAUAAAUCUACAUAAAGCCUAUGAUAUGAUAUAUAAUAUUUGGGUUAUAUCAAUAAUUAACAAGUGUUAAGUGCAACUCUCGAAAGUAAAAUUUAAAUUUAAACUUUGAAAAUAAUACUAUUAAAAUGAAAGCGCAACCAUACCUGAUUGAAUUCAGGCUUUAAAUUUCUAUUUACUAUAUCUAGGAAUCCAAGCUCAUUUAAAUUUUUUUUUUUUUUGGUCUGAAAUAGAUAUUAUUAUUUCCACUCGCAAUGAAUACUUUCCUUGUAUAUAUAUAUAUAAAGUUUUAGUAGAUAUUAUUAUUUGGAUUAAAAUUAAUGUACAAUGGAAUUCAAACUUUAAAUUACUAUUUGUUCACGUGAGAGUCUAAGUUUAUUAAAUUUUUUCUGUCUAAAAUAAAUAUUAUUUGUAUAAUUUUUGUUAAUUUGGUGUUUUAUCUUUUAAAAGUACAUAAUUAUUUUUAAUAAAUUUUAAAUAUUAAUUUUUCAUAUUUUAAAUAAAAAAAUAUUAAUAUUUCAACAUAACUAGCCAUUAGAAUCGAAAUCCACAUAUCGAUUACUGAUUUGAGAUUACAAGAAUUCUAUAUCUAUAUUUAACAAAAUCAUUACCUCAUAAUCACCCCAAUGUCAAUUUGGGAUUCCCAUGCAAAAUUCAUCCGAUCGGACAUAAUCCAUGAACUUCAAUUAAGUAAUUAAUCAUGUAUUGAAGUCUCAAUUUUGAAUAUGCUCAUUUUUCAUUCCAGUUUUAAUCUCUUUCACCUUAUGCUUUCUAAAUUGCUUCCGCACAAAACCAGAAAUGGUUGUACAUUUGUUUUAUUCUUACACUGUCUUUUUCGUUGUGUUUUAAUUUAAUAAAGAUAAGUCUUUGAUUUAAUUAUUUAUGCGAAAAGAAAUUAUACUUCUAGGCUCUAGCUUCCUUCUCAAAAUAACUGGAAAAAAUAUUUGGUCAAAUAGUUAUCUUUUUAAUUUAGAAAAAUAAAUUUAUUUUGGAGAGAGUAACUAAAAGUGCGUUCAACUAGUAAUAAUAAAAUAAAGGAAAUUUUUGAGUUUGAUUCUUGUAGAUAUAGAAAGCUUAUCCUCUAGCUAGAGAUCCAAUUCGGUUCGACUCUAAAUUUAAUCAAAACUCAAAAUGACUAUCAAAUGCUAAGAAGUCUCACUCUCAUACUCAUAAACAAACAAAAAAAAUAUGAAUCAAAUUGAGUUACAUCAAAUUUUAAUAUUAAAUAUAUUUGUCCAAGUUCCAACUCAUCGCAACAGACUCUUAAAUUCUUUUCAUUAUUUAUGAUAUAUUAAAUAUUAUAAAUAUUUCUAUGGUGAUAUUUAUAUAUUUUGAUAAUUAAAAGUAAAUAAAAAUAUUUUUAUGGAGUAAAAUAAUACUUAAACCCCAAUGAGGCUUUGACAAUGUUUAGAAAAGUUGAAGUUCACAGGCUUUAAUAGUUUAGGUUUGAGUUUCACCGUGUACAAAAGAUUUGAGUUUCGCCGUGUACAAAUGCUAUGUAUGAGCUCUCCUUGGUAAUAUUUUGGAUAUAUGUUCUACCACGACUACCACGACUGAGCUCUUUUUGAAUUUAUUUUGGUCUAAGUCUAGAAAUAUUUUAGUUUUCAGUUUGUUAUAUUUUGUAUUAGAUUGAUUAUAAUUCUAAUCCUAAUGGAUUGAAGAUAUAUUAAUUGUAAUUUGUAUGUUACUUAUUGGUAUACACCUCCGCCAGAAAGACACAUGUCAAGUUCAAAGGACAUUGUUGACUCACUUCAAACGAAACCUACCAUCUGUGUUCACAGGCGAAUGUUAUUCUAAUGUGAACACACUUCCAAAAUAAUGAGACCAUUUAAGCUUAAUUACUUCAUACUGGUAGAAUCACAUAAUAUGUGCUCGUGAUUAUCCAUUAUGUAUUUAAAGAGAUUAAAUGCUUAUCUAGCCAAUAUUAUACAAGUGGCAAAUGAGACUUUUUCCUAUAAAUAUCUUAGAAAAUUAUGGGCAAAGGAUCAACCAUUUUUAUACUCUAGAAUUACUUUGAGCAUUUAUCUUAUCAAUCAACUUGUCCCAUAAUCCUUAUUCCGACUCUUAACCUCUAUAGAUGAACCAAUCUUCACUACACCAUUUUGAUCUCUUGCUUUCUCCGCUUUAUUUUUCUCCUGUAUCAACACUUAUUCUCAAAAACUCUUUUAAAAAAAUAACACUGGGAGCGCAUAUUCUAUACUAAAUCUAAUUUAAUCUAAGUAAGAUUUAAUUAAUUGGAUGAUUGAACAGAUUUAAAUGAGAAAUUAUGGUUUUAAUUUUAUUUAGAAAGGUUGAGAGAAUCUAGCUGAUUUUGUAUUCUACAUAUAGAUGGAAAGGCCCAAUGGACAUCUCUAUAUCUAAAACCCCAACAACCUAAGGCCCAUCGUGAGAAGAAUCAUCUAAGCACUGUAGUUUUUUUUUUAACAAAAUAAAACUCAUUUUCUCAACUAAUAUUAAAUACUCUCAUUCUAUGAACUAAUGGUUCCUAUUUUACUUUUUUUUUAUAAAUUUUUACACCACCUCAAAACGUGGAUGCGAUUGUUUUCUGAACCAAUGGCAUAGUGGGAGGACUAAAUUCAAAUAGACUAAUUUAUCCAAUUAGCCUCUCAAUUAUUAAUUUAUUUUUAUUUUGAUCACCAAAUUAUAAAAAAAAUUAAUCUCAUUACUAACGUUUUUAUUCAUUUUUGUUUUGGUAACUCAUUGGUUAAAUUUAUUAACAGAGAUGGUGAGGUGAUCAUUUUUAACCUAAUAUGAUAACAUAUUUAGUCCUCAAUACUUGCACAUUUUAUCAAAUUAACCCUAAUUUUUUAAAAAAGUUACCUCACCAUUGCUGUUAAUAAUUUAAUUAGGAGUGACCAACACAAAAAUGAAUGAUAUUGUUAGUAACAAAAUUAAAAGUGAUUAUGCUAAUAAUUAAGUGACUAAUUGUAUAGUUCACCCGCGGGUGCUGUAACAUGAAUCAAAGACCUGCUGUUCCAAAUUAAUGUUUCAAUAUAAACAACAAAGGCAUUGUAAUAACCCAAUUUGUCCGAGCCUGAAUUACAAACACACAAAAGGCCCAAACAAAAUCAGAUAAAUAAAACCAAAAAUAAAUAAUAAAAUCCAUUGAAGUCCAGUCCAUUUAUAACCAAUGCCAAACCCAAUUUACAAAUACAAGCCCAGGUACAAAGGACUAGCCCAACAGAAUUACACGACCCAACAGGCCCAAAACUUUAAAAAAUUUUCAGAAAGCCAGAAACCCUAGGGUUUCUGGCACAGUUUCUCCUCGGCCACAUCACCCACGCCUCAUCCUGAGGUCCCUCGCCCCGAGGCUUGUCUGCAACCUUGCACCAAGAUGGAAAAAUCCUUCAUCCGCCUCUGUCAACACCUGCAAACGAGCAAAAAAAGGGAAAGCAGAAACAAAGCAAAAUAAACAGCAGAAAAUAGUAGCAAACCUUUUGUAUUCGGCUAUAAAGCCACCGAAAAAACGAUUGUAAACACACAGACAAUUAAUAAAAAACAGAACUCAGUUAAAAAAGAGGUGAUUUUUUCUUCUAAGUAUUCUAGUUUAUUUUAUUGUAUUUUUAUUUUGUAAAUAAUAAACGAAAACAUCAAGAGAGGGGUUCGAAAUUACCUAACGUCUUACGUCCAGUCGCUAUAGGCGGCCAAAGUUUCUCGUUUCCGAUGAAAAACAAUGUAUUUAGCCUCGGGAAGUCGAAAAAACAAAAAAAUAGACCUUUUUGUUUUUCGGCCACCGAGGACGGCGGCACCAUCGUCGGUGACCAACAGUCGCCACGGUGGCCGAUGAUCAGAACCGGGGCCGGAAAGGGAGAGAGAACAGAGAAAAGAGAUGUUAUUUUUAUUUUAUUUUUGAAGAACUGUGGCUGAAAUGAGGGUGUGAAAGAUUUUUUUGGUAUUUAUAUAGGCUCUAUACGACGUCGUUUUCCCCCUAGGAUCCGCGUGUCGACCCGACCCGUUCAGAGGAUCCGCAGUUUUGGGGCGAAUGGGCUAUUUGCUACUUUAGUCCUUCCGCAUUUUUAUAUUUUUCAAUCUAGUCUUGUAUAUGUUUUAUGUAUUUAUAAUUUUUCCACAUAAGUUUACUCUCUUUUCAUUUUGACCCUUUAUGAAAUGGUGCGUUUUGGAGGACGGGGAAUAUUUCCCCAUUUGGCCCCUCCAUUUUAUUUGCGCUUUUCAAUGCGGUCCCCUAUUUUAUUUUAUUUCGAUUUACGCCCUUAAAUUCCAUUUAAGUUUCAAUUUAGUCCCUUUUUAUGUUUAUUCAUCUAUUUUAUUAUAAUUUAGACUCUAAUUUUAUUUAAAUCUCAACUUAAUCCUUUAUUCACUUUAUCUUUUAUAUAUGCAUCUAGAUCUGUUUAUUUAUUUAUUUAUUUAUUUUUACAUUCAUGCAUUCAUUUAAAUUUUUUUUUUACUCUUCUUGUACUUAGAAUUUAUAUGAUUCUUUAUUCCUUUAUUUACACAUAUUAUUAUUAUUAUUAUUAUUAUUAUUAUUAUCAUCAUCAUCAUCAUCAUCAUCAUCAUCAUCAUCAUCAUCAUUAUUGACCAUUCAUAUAUUUUAUUUACAAAAUGUACCCUUAAUUCUAUUUAUAUUUUAAUUUAGUCCUUUAUCUUCAAUAUUUUAUAAAUUAUUUUCCCCAAUCAUUUUGCGAUUUAUAAUUUGUUUUUUAUUUUAUUUUUUUAAUUCUUUAUUUUUUUAUUUUCAACUUUUCAUUAAUUUUUUUUGUGUUGUCAUUUAAUUAGUCAUUUAUAUAUUUACUAUUGCUAUCUCAACUUCUCAUACUUUUUAUUUCGCUAUUAUUUACUCAUUAUUUAUGCAUUUAUUAUCUUUUUUUUAUUUUAAGGUUUAUAUUAUUCAUAUUUACACAUUCCUUAUUCAUUAUUUGUACAUAUUUCAUUCCUUAUUUAUUUAUAUUUUUAUGUGUUACUUACAUUUAUCAUUAUUACUUAGUAUCUUUCACUUCUAUUUUUUUAUAUUUUAAAUUUACUCAUUUAUUUUAUUAUGGUGCGAUUAUUAAUACAAACCAAAAUUAUAUUAUUAUGGUUUUUUAAUCUAUUUAUAGUAUUCUUAUGUCAAACAUUAGGUUUUAAAAUCAUCCAUUUGUACAUUAAGUCUGAAUAAACUAAAUACAUAUAAUUUAAAUACUACGUUCGAUGUUAUUCAAAAGAGGGAAGGUUUUCAAAGUAAGGCAAUAUUCUGUGUUUGGGGACUCGAGAAAGUCAUACCCUAACUUACGGGGUUUCGAUUUUUUUCGUUGGAUCUAAAUAACUAAAUAUCCUUUUAAAAUUGAAAUACGUGAAAGUUCAAAAAUAAAAAAGACAAGGCAAACUUAUUCUCAAAAAUUUGAAGUGUCAUGUCCUAACUUACGGGACGUGAAGUUUUGUUGCCUCAAGAUAAGAAGGUCUUCCAUAUUUUUCGACUUAUUCAAGCAAAUUUUUAAGUAAAAAUAACAUAAUACAAAAAAGGAUCGUAUUUUUAAAUUAUUUUCAAAAUUUCAACUUUCGACAUUAAGACAUUAAUUAAUCGAUGAGGUACCAAUUUUGGGCAUUACGAGGGUGCUAAUCUUUCCUCGUACGUAAUCGACUCUCGAACCCAUUUUUCUAAAUUUCGUAGACCAAAAAUUAUUGUUUUAGUAAAUCAAACCCUUUAUUAAAACAAGAAAAUUACGAGGCGAUUGAUCACACUUUACAAAAAUUAUUGGUGGCGCCUCCCAAUUUUUGUUUUUCAAAAUAAAAAGUCGACCUUUUCAAAACAUACCUGCAAGUGGUUCCAUCCGAGCUAGAGAUCAUAAAGCAAGAUUUUGAAAAGAGUAAUUCGGAGUUAGGAAAGAGGAUAGAACAAUUGGAGGAGGAAAAAAUGCAUUUGAGAUUAGAUGUUGACGUUCAGAAGCUAGAGGCCGAGAAAUUGAGAAAGGGAAAGAAUAAGGCCGAAGAAGAUUUGGAUAGCUUGAAAACGGAUUAUAAGAAGUUGCGUUUAUCACUGAGAAUCGCCGGAUUGGGAAAAACGUCAGAACAAUGACGGAAAGAGAUUCAAGAAGAAAAGAUUAAAGUCAAUCGAUGGGAGAGAAAAUUCCAAGAUGCUCAGGUUCGAAAAGUGGUCUCAGAAAAGAGUUUGUCAGAAAGUCGAAGUGAAAAAAUCGAAUUAAAGGCUAGAGUAGCAGAACUAGAAAAGUCGUUUAAUCAGUAUCGUAGUCGCAACUCUACAAUCGAGCUGAAGGUGAGCUUAAACAAGAUUGAAGAGCUGAAAAGGAAGAUAGAAGAACUCCAGACUAUGUUACAAAACUGCGAAAUUCGAGUUGAACUUCUUGAAACAAAUGAUGAGCAUUGGAAAGAGCAUCCCCACUGUUCUCAGGAUCAAGUUAGGGACAAAUUAUAUUAUGGGUGAAGCUGUGGCUUAGAUACGAAAGGUGACCGAUCAUUUACAGACCCUAGCAGUUCAGGUUGACGUGCUAAGUGUGAAAUAUGAAUUAGAAUCAGACCGGGGCCGAGAGCUAGCUUGGCUUUUUAGGAAAGUUAAAGCUUUGAGCAUUAGGGCAAAGUCAUAUAUGGAAUCCGUUUUAUGUAAAGAAAUUUGUUUUCUAGUAAAGUUGUUCUAACAUAAUUGAAUUAAAAUCAAUGCCUCUUUUUGUAUUCAUUUCAUGUAUUUGCAUUACGUUGCAUCAUAUGCAUUAAAUUUCACGAAAAGACCCUAAUUAUAAAAAAUUAUUUCAGUUAAUCUGGAAAUCAACAAGAGUCAACCAACCGAAUAUCGUUAUAGUAUUCAUUCCAAAACCAAAGAAAUAGACCAAAGAUUGGAACAGUUUCAAAAAGAGAUGCAAGACCAGUUGCAAAAGCAACUGCAAGAACAAUUAGUAAAAGUAAAACAGGAGAUGAGGGAUCAGAUACUGGAAUCCCAAAGAAACAUGAUGAGCCAAUUGGCGCAGUUACUGACUGGAGAACGUGAAAAAGGGAAGAGCACAGUGAUCAACUGAGGGGAUGAUAAUAAGGAUCCUAUUUAUCCCCCGAUUUUUACCCUGAUAAACGCCCAGGCACAACUAGAGGUGUACACACGAAGGGUACUUGUUACAAUCAAACCCCAACAGUAUCAAACCGGUACCUCAGUACUGAUAAACUACCAAAUAGGCUCAGGUUCCAAUUCGAGGGAUAACCCAACCAAUCCCAUCGUUCUUGAUGUAGAUGAUAUGGCAGAAAUGGAAAAAACAAGAGUCGAACUACCAAAGCAACUUAAGAAUCGAUGCAGAUGGCUAGAAGAAAAAUUCAGAGUAAUGGAAAACGCUGAUUAUCAUUACGAAAUUGAUGCCAAGGAUCUGAUUUUGGUCCUAGAUUUAUUGUUCCCCCUGAAGUUCAAAACUCCAGAGUUUGAAAAAUAUAAUGGGACUAGUUGUCCGGAAGCUCACAUCACCAUGUUUUGUCGAAGGAUGACAAGACACGUUUUUAAUGAUCAACUGUUAAUCCACUACUGUCAAGACAGUUUGAUCGGGUUAGCAGCUAAAUAAUAUAACCAAUUGAGUUGUACCAAAAUCAAUUUGUGGAAAGACCUAGCACAAACUUUUAUGAAGUAAUAUAGUCAAGUGACGGACAUGACACUUGGAAGAAUCACGUUACAGAAUAUGGAGAAGAAGUAAAAUGAGAGCUUCAAGCAAUAUGCCCAAAGGUAGAGAAGGUGGCAAUGCAAGUCCAGCCACCUCUUCUGGAGAAAGAAACCAUAAUGCUUUUCAUCAAUAGUUUAAAAGCCCCGUUUAUCAAUCAUAUGUUGAGAAGCGCUACUAAGAGCUUCUCGGAUAUAUUGAUGUCCGGUGAAAUGAUCGAAAACGCGGUGAGAAGUGAUAAGAUAGACGCGGGGGAAAACUCUAAAAGAUCAACCCCGAGAAAGAAAGAAAAUGAGGUGAAUAAUGUAAGCACAUAUAACAAAGGUUAUUCGAAACCAAUUAUCAUUGGCCUGCCAAGGACAGUAACCACUAACUAUCAGGGCCCUCCAAGGCAAUAUUUCAAUACUUACGUCCAUCUCAAUGACAUAUAGGAAAUUGUACCAAAGUCUAUUCGGUGUACAUAUGGUAUCCUCAUUCUACCUGAUACCCAUGCAACCUCCAUUCUCUAAAUGGUAUGAUGCAAAUGCUCAAUGUGAGUACCAUACGGGAAUAACGGGGCACUCGAUCGAGAAUUGCACUGCGUUUAAAAAGUUGAUCGAAAGAUUCAUUAAGAUAAGGAUCGUAAAGUUCACCGACUUAUCAGGACCUAACUUAACAGGAAAUUCGUUACCCAAUCAUUCUGAUAAAGUGGUAAAUGCGAUAAUCGAGAGUGGGGGUAAAAGAAUCAAUGUUGACAUGGCAGAAGUGAAAACCCCCACUAAAAUGGGUUUGGAAAUAAAUGAUAGAUGGAGGUUUAAUCAUACAAGACUUAGAGAAAAGGCCUAGAGGAGUAAGAAAAUAUUGUGAGUUCCAUGCCAAUGAGGGCCAUGACAUCCAAGAAUGCACUAAGUUCAGGACCACAGUUCAAAAUCUGAUGGACAGUAAAGAGAUGGAAUUUUAUGAAGAGGUAAAGGGUUCAGAAGAAGGAGAGGUUUAUGCUUCAGAGGAAGGAUCAAUAGAAAUGGUCCAGAAAGUUAACCACCUGGUAAUGAUCAUUUCGCAACCAAGAAACAAUGAAGCAGGAAUACGAAUGGCACCGGGAGUUAUAAUCCAAAAACCUAUAUCCUUUCCCUACAAGGAUAGCAAAAGGGUUCCUUAGAAUUAUGACUGUAACGUGACAAUCCCGAGAGAGGAGAACCCGGUUAACGCUUCAGAGGAGGGUCAAAAUGUGAGUUUUUACACGCGUAGUGGGAAAUGCUACGAUCCAGUGAAUUCAAGAGCGAAACUCGUAAAAGGAAAGACCUUGGUGGUAGAACGAGAAAAAAAAGAUGGUUAGAGUUGAAUCACCUAUUAAUGAGCCGGUGACUAAAAAAGAGGCUAGAGAAUUCUUGAAAUUCUUAAAGUACGCGAGUAUAGCGUUGUGGAGCAACUACACAAACAACCAGUUCGCAUAUCAGUGCUAGCUUUACUCUUGAGCUCGGUGACUCAUUGUAGCACAUUGAUAAAAGUGUUAAAUAAAAUCUAUGUGGCUGAUGAUAUCUCUGUGAACAAGCUGGACCAUCUUUUCAAUAAUACAUGCACCGAUAGUUUUAUAUUUUUCAAUGACGAUGAAAUAUUGCCAAGCAGAAUGAGUUCCACAAAGGCUCUACAUAUCACCAUCCGCUGUAAGGGAUAUUCAUUGCUGGAAGUAUUGAUUGAUAAUGGAUUUGCACUGAAUGUCCUGCCUCUAUCCAUACUAAAUAGACUGCCAGUGGAUAGUUCCCAUAUGAAGACAUGCCAAAAUAUAGUGAGGGCAUGAAAUGGGGAGGAUUGAAAUACCCUUUUUGAUCAGUCCAAGCACGUACGAGGUAGAUUUCUUGGUGAUGGAUAUCAAGCCUUCUUACAAUUACUUACUAGGAGGCCAUGGAUUCACUCAGCAGGGGCAAUGCCGUCAUCAUUGUAUCAAAAGCUAAAAUUGGUAACUGAAGGUCGGCUAGUAACCAUAAACACGGAAGAUGACAUCAUCGCAUCAGUUACUAGCGACGCGCUAUACAUAGGGGCAGACGAUGAAGCGAUAGAAUGAUCCUUUCGAUAGCUGGAAUUUGUGAACGCAACCUUCAUUGUCGAAGGGAACAAGAUCUUAGUGCCCAAAAUAUCCAAAACUAUAAGGAUUGACCUACAACUAACGAUUGGGAAAUGAGCCUUGCUUGGAAGAAGACUUGGAAAACACAUACAAGGAAGGGUCGAGACAUGCAUGCUCAUAGACAAACGAGAUCACUUUGGCUUAGGAUACAAACCAGAUGCGAGGCAAAAGAAGAGAGAACUAGAGAAAAGAUAAGAAAGGAGGAGAGCGUGAUUGAGCGAGAAAGAAGUCAAGUGGGAACCGAUGACCUUUCCCCAUAUAUCCAGGACUUUCGUGUCAGGAGAAAUUAUUCACCCUGAGCGGAAGAUGUCAAGAAAGAAGACCACUAAAGAAAUGUUGGGAAAUUUGAACAUCAACGCCAUAUCCAAAGAAAGAAUUGGGAGAUAAAAUUUAUCAGGCAUCUGCCCCUAUGUACCUAGAAGUAUUCUGAACAACUAGACUACAGAAGAGAUUCCUAUAGUUUUUAGAGCCAAUUCAGAGUAAUGUUCAGAACACACGCUUAUUACUCUAAACCUAGGAGUAAUAAAAAUCAUUUUGUGAAAUAGGCUUAUGUUUAACAUCAUUAUUUCAAUAAAAAUACAUUUUUGCGUAUCAUCUUGAGCAAAUAUUAUUUUAUUCUUUCUAUACCAUACAGAUAAUCAUUCUUAGAUUCUUUAUUUUUUGUAUCUUCCUCCAUCGCUAUAACAGGUCUCCAAAUAUCAAUGAUAUGAACGACGUUGCUACUGACUCAGAAUCUCCUUUUGAGAAAGAGAUGUGUACAGAGGAUUCUUAAGAUUCUGAAGAUGAUCGAGACUGUAACCUAUCUCUUGAUUUUUUGAGGAUGGUAGAAUAAGAUGAGAAACAAAUCCUGCCUCACAAGGAGUUAGUGGAAAUUGUGAGCUUAGUAGAGGAAAAAAAUGUGAAGAUUUGAGCUUGCAUUACCGUAGAGACGAAACGAGACCUCAUUGAGUUACUCUAAGAAUUCAAAGAUGUCUUCGCAUGGUCAUAUCAAGACAUGCCCGAGUUAAAUACUGAUAUCGUAUAGACCGACUCCCUAUAAAGGAAGAAUGCAAGCCAGUUCAACAGAAGUUCUGGAGGAUGAAGCCCGACAUUUUGUUGAAAAUAAAGGAGGAGGUCAAGAAGCAAUUCGAUGCUGGCUUUUUAAAAGUGGUUAAAUACUUAGAAUGGGUAGCCAAUAUCAUCCCUGUCCCUAAAAAAGAUGGGAAAAUAUGAAUGUGAGUAGACUAUAGGGACUUUGAUUAAAGCCAGCCUGAAAGAUAAUUUCCCAUUGCCUCAUAUCGAUACCUUAGUGGACAACACGACAGGUUACUCACUGUUCUCCUUAAUGGAUGGCUUUUUGGGAUAUAACCAGAUAAAGAUUUAUACUGAAGACAUGGAAAAAACCACAUUCGUAACCAUGUAGGGAACAUUUUGCUAUAAGGUUAUGCCAUUUGGAUUAAAAAUGCGGGAGCUACGUAUCAAAGAGCUAUGGUGACUUUGUUUCAUGACAUGAUACACAAAGAAAUCAAGGUUUAUGUUGAUGAUAUAAUCGCAAAGUCCUGAACAAAGAAAUAGCAUGUACAAGUAUCGAGGAAAUUGUUCUUGAGAUUGAGGAAAUUCCAGUUGAAGCUCAAUCCAGCAAAAUGUACUUUCGGGGCUAGGUCGGGAAAAUUACUAGGAUUUGUAGUCAGUAAAAAGGGGAUCGAGAUCGACCCAGAUAAAGUAAAGGCUAUACAGGAAUUACCUCCGCCGCGCACUUAAAAAGAAGUUUGAGGUUUCCUAGGGAGAUUAAAUUACACGCCCAGUUCAUUUCACAAUUAACUGAGAAAUGCGACCCCAUAUUUCGUCUCCUUAAGAAACACAAUCCUGGUGUUUGGGAUGAGAAGUGUUAGAAAACUUUCGACAAGGUCAAACAUUACCUAUCUAAUGCCCCAAUAUGGAUGCUUCCUAACCCAUAUCGGCCAUUAAUAUUGUACUUAGCAGUAUUUAAGAAUUCAACGGGAUGCGUGCUUGGGUAACAUCAUGAAUCAAGGAGAAAAGAAAAAGCGAUAUACUAUCUCAGUAAAAAAUUCACUGAAUGUGAGACAAGAUAUUCGCUAAUUGAGAAGUAGUGUUGUGCCUUGAUCUAGGCAACUCGAAGGUUGAAAUAGUAUAUGUUGUACUAUAUAACUUGGCUCAUCUCAAAACCAGAUCCGCUAAACUACAUGAUGGAGUCAACUGCUUUGAAUGGAAGAAUGACCUAGUGGUAAAUCCUGCUUUCUGAAUCUAACAUAAGGUAUGCGAAUCAAAAGGCUAUAAAAGGAAGCGCAAUAGUAGAUUUUCUGGCCAGUAUUGUAACACCCCGUACCCGAGACCGUUGCCGGAGUCAGACACGAGGGGUUCACAGACUAAAUUCGCUUACUAUCGCAGUCUAUUUUAAAAAUUUCCAGACAGCUGGCUAACUGUGUCGCUGUCACCUUAAAAAUCAUAUCUUGAGUUUCACAACUCGAAAAUCAGUUUCGUGAUUUUUCCCUGAAACUAGACUCAUAUUUCCAUAUACAUAUUUUUUUCUAGAAUUUUUGGUCAGGCCAAUUAGUACAGUUUAUUAGUUAAAGUCUCCCCUGUUACAGGGUGCGACUACACUGACCUUCAUGCAUUAAAAUUCGGAUAUCUCCCUGUACAGGGCUUCAAUACUGAUUUCGUUUGUUUCUAUAGAAACUAGACUCAGAGAGGAAUCUAUAAAUAUAUGGCAUGACUCCUAAUUAUAUCUGGUUAAUUUAUAAUGAAUUUCCAAAGUCGGAAUAGGGAAUCCAGAAACUGUUCUGGCCCUGUCUCACGAAAACCUAAUUAUCUCUUAACAUACCACUCAUAUGACCGUUUCGUUUCUUCCAUAUGAAAGUGGAUUCAUCAAGGUUAAUUUAAAUAAUUUAUUCACUAUUUAAUUCUAUUCCUAAUAUUUUUAGUGAUUUUCCAAAUCUACAUCACUGCUGCUGUCAGCAUCUGCCUUUAAGGUAGACUUUACCUAUUUCAUAGUUUCCAUGAUUAAACUAGCCCUUUUAGCAUAAAUAGCACAAAUUAUGAUAGUGAUUAACCAUUCCCAUGGCCAAUCCUUGUUAAGCAUAUCCACACCUCUCAAUAACCAUAUCCAUACCAAAUGAUUAUAACAUUAUGCUCAAACAUAUAUAAGCCAUUUUCGCAUGGCUAUCCAAAAUUAUACAAAUCCAAAGGGUCCAUGACCAACUACAAAAAGGGUAGUCCUAUACAUGCCAUUUUCAGAGUUCAACCAAAAGUGUACCAAAAGGGCUUUGAUAGUGUGGGCGACUUCGACUUCAAUAAUCCCGAGUCCGAUAGCUGACGAACCAAAAUCUAUAAAACAAAGAUUCAAAGAACGGAGUAAGCAUUUAAUGCUUAGUAAGUUUUAAGCAAGACAAAGUGUUCUCAAUCACUAUUAUUGGUCAUUCAUUUCAACUGUUCGAUGAAGUUAAUCUAGAGCUUCAUCUCGAUCUAUAAUAUCAUUAAACGCAACACUUGGCUGCCACAUAUAUACUUUCGAAUAAUAAUGACCUAGAUGGUCAAAUAUUUCCAAAGCACAUUCUCACAUUUGGAGUUAUAAUAUUAAUCACAUUUACCUACCUCUUUGAUACUGAUAAUUCACCUCGAAAUCACUCCACCGAUGAGUAAGUAAUACGUACCUGAACAUCUUGAAUACAUAAUACUUAUUUGAUGGUAACUUAAUGCAGAUACUCAAUAUCAAAGUCUUACUUGAAUCCUAGCAUUUAGCCGUCGGGUCUUUAAAGCUCAGAUAUAGUACGAGCACGAAGCCUACGGACAUUAAUCAGGAUAAUAUUCUCGCAUAAAGCCUGCGGGAUUUUAACCCGGAUAUAGUACUGACACAAUUGCCCUUCGGGACUUAUCACAUUUAUACACUUUCACAUCCAUCACGUUGGCCACUCGGCCCUGUCACAUAUAUACACUUUCACAUUCAUCACAUCGGCCAUUAGGCCUUAUCACAUAUAUACACUUUCACAUUCAUCACAUCGGCUAUUAGGCCUUAUCACAUAUAUACACUUUCACAUUCAUCACAUUGGCUAUUAGGCCUUAUCACAUAUAUACACUUUCACAUUCAUCACAUCGGCCAUUAGGCCUUAUCACAUAUAUAUACACUUUCACAUCACUUUCACAUUCAUCACAUUGGCCAUUCGGCCUUAUCACAUAUAUACACUUUCACAUUCAUCACAUUGGCCAUUAGGCCUUAUCACAUAUAUACACUUUCACAUUCAUCACAUUGGCCUUUCGGCCUUAUCACAUAUAUACACUUUCACAUUCAUCACAUCGGCCAUUCGGCCUUAUCACAUAUAUAUACACUUUCACAUUCAUCACAUUGGCCAUUAGGCCUUAUCACAUAUAUAUACACUUUCACAUUUAUUCAAAUAUACUUCACAUACCACAUAUACUAUCAUGUACAGUCUUGGUCUUGGCCGAAUCUACAUCCAUCACUUUCCAAUGAAUAAUUCAAUUUUACGCCAUACUAUCAUUUCAUGUUCGAAUACUCAUAAGCUUACAAUAUCACGAUUUAGAAUUCAAGUAUGGGUUUAAUCAAUAGCUUAUGAGCAACUAAAACAAGUUUUAUCCAUGUUUACAACAAAAUCACAUAUUCACUACGAGCUGUUUUCCUGAGCAAUGGUCACUAAAUUAUUUAUAACCGGAGCUACAAAACUCCAAAUCACUUGCCGUUAAUUUUUCCUGAAUAUAGACUCGUAUAUCUUCCAUCCAUAAAAUUUCCAGAAUUUUAGGUUUGGCCAAUCAAUACCAGAUUUUUCUUAAAGUUUCCCCUGUUUCACUAUUUGACUAAUCUGACCACUCUUCACUACGAAUCAAAUUUCUCAUUUUACAGAAUUCAAAAUGUGUUGUAUUUGAUUUCAUUUGAAACUAGACUCAUUAAGGAGUCUAAGCAUAUAAAUUUUAUCUUAUAACCAUUUUUGUACAAUUUAUAAUGAUUUUCUAAAAACAGAACAGGGGAUUUCGGAGUCAUUCUGACACCGUCUCACACAACUUUAAAUAUCUCUUUAUAGGAAAUUUGUUUGCUCACAAGGUCUCUUUUAUAACAAGCUAGACUAAUUAAGCCUUGAUUACAUAUUUUAUUCAGCCUAUAAUUCCACACCAACAAUUUAUAGUGAUUUUCUAAAAUCACGUUACUGCUGCUGUCCAAAGCAAAUUAUUACAAUUUGCUCUUAACUUUCCAAGUCCGAACACAUAUGAACUUACCAUUUGAGUUUAAGACAUAUCAUGGCCACAUCAUAUCUUAUUAAAUCAACUCAUUAUGUCCUAUUAUGAUUGAAUUUACUCAACGUUUAAUCACUUAAAACUUACCUCGGAAGUGGUCGACGACUAGAUAUCCACGGCUAUUCGUUUACUUUCUCUUUAUCCAAAAUUGCCCCUCUAUGCUCUUGAGCUUAAUUAACAAAAUUUAAACUAUUUUAAUCACCUUGUUAUAUCAUUAAAAACAACAAGGUAAAUCUUCUCAAUGAAACUCAUACAUAAGGCAACACCUCGAUACAUCUGCACACAUUCGGUAUUUCAUAAAAACCAUCCCAAAUACAUUUACCUAGGUAUUACCAUGUCGCCUUAUAUACAUAUACUAGUUAUGUGGUCAAUUUUUCCGAUGACCUAUGCAUAUAACUAAUUACACCUUUAAUAAUAUUCACAAAGCCGAUUAUCCACAUGACUACCUUAGCAUAUUAUUAGUUAGCUUCUUAUCCAAAUUUGCCAUAAAGAAAAUUAACUCAUAUCCCCUCAAGUGCAUAAGCAAUUGCAUCCAAAGGACACUUUAAAUGCAUGUUAUGAAGGUAACCGAAUGCACAUAUAUUUAUACCAAGGCAUCAUAUACUUCAAACCAACUAUCAAGGCAUAAAGCCGAACCUUCAAAAUCAAUUAUCAAUACACGUUCAAACAUGCCCUCAUACAAAUAUACAAGUUCUCCCUUGGUUAAACUAAAUCAUGCUUUAAGGUUUAAUGUUCAUCUUUAACACAAUUACCACACUUCAAACUAAAUUUUCAGCUUCAUAUAUCCCACACCAGAUUUUUUUUUUCCAUGCUCAAUUUCCAUGGCCGAAUGAAAUUAUGCCCUAAUUCAUGAACUUAAACAACAUUGGCCAACUUUCCAAGCUCAUUUCAGCCAUCAAGCACAUUUAGUUUGUUCAUACUCAACUAGAAUCAAUUAUCCUCCCAAAAUCAUCAAACAUACAAAAUAUACCCCAUUAAGCUCAUGACCGAUUGCUACAUGCUUCAUGAACACAAAAAUUUUCACAUGGGUCUUGUUGCAAGCUUCAAAACCAACCAAAAUUCACAACUUUUCAAAGACAAUAACAUGAACCUUACCUUAUUUGAAGCCUUCUUUUGCCGAAUGCCCUAAGCUCAAAGGUUUCUAUUUUCUUUCUCAACUCACGGCAAGAAGAAGAAGAAAAUGGCCUUGUUAUUUUCACCUCAAACAUGUUUUUUCAUUUAUUUCAUUAACUUUUAUUAUAUUCUUUCUCCCAUAACACACUAACACAACAUGUUUCCAACAUGUUUCACCCCAUAACAUUUUGUCCACUCUCAUGCUCAUGGCCGGCCACUACUAAUUAGGGGGGAAAUUGACAUGCAAGUCCACCCUUUUUAUUUCAUGCACUAAUAGAUCCUUAUGUUUUGACCUAUCACAUUUCAAAAGUGUCACACAUAAGUCCUAUUGACUAAAUUCACAUGCAAUUUACUAAAUCAGAGCUUAAAACUUUCACACAUUCGUAUUCACAUAUAAUAGUCAUAAAAUAUGACGGCUAAUUAUUUUUAUGACUCAAUUUUGUGGUCCCGAAACCACUUUUCGACUAGGGUCAAAUUAGGGGUGUCACAACUCUCCCCCCUUUAGGGAUUUUCGUCCCCGAAAAUUUCUACCGAUGCAUAGUUUAGGAUAACGUCCUCUUAUUGAAUUAUAUUCAUAUAAACAUUAGCUCAUCGAUAGCAAUUGUAAUUCAUUAAUGAUUUCACAUCGAUCUAUAAAAUCAUUUUCUUAUCUUAAAACAAAUACAUAAACAUUUCUACAAGUAUGCACAUAUAUCUCAUUUUCUUGAUUUCAUAAGCAAUAAUCACUUAAUUUAAUUCACAAAUGCAUUUCAAACACAUAUUAAGCACAUAUUAACAUGUAUAAUUCACAUCAUCAACCCACAUAUUUGUAACCCACAUUUUCAUUCAUGUAUAAGCUGUAACCUGACCGAAAGUACACAUAUACUCAAACAUCCCAAUAAAUAUCCUUUAUAACUCCAUCAUAUCUCACUAUUCAACUUAACCUAUUUCCAACAGAAAAUAAACUUCCACAUACCUGAACAUUUAAUUCAUUUAGCACAUUUAAUCACUGUUAACGAUACCCGUUGAAUCAUUCGAAAUCAUUACGGAUACUCAUUAAGCACAUAUAGCUCUUACAAUGCCAUAUCCUAGAUAAGGUCUUACAUAUGCUCACAUAUCGAGCCGAUGCCAUGUCCCAGACAUGGUCUUACACACUAUCUCAAAUCAAUGCCUUCGUCCCAGACGAGGUCUUACAUGAAUUCCACUUCACACACUUAGUGCCCACUGACCGAUCUCGCACUCAUAGUGCUCGAUUAAAGGAAUUCGCACACACACAGUGCCUCUAAUCAUUCACACACAUAGUGCUCUUAUUCAUUCGUUAUUACACAUUGAAAUGACUUAACCAAUUCUAUAAACAUCAUGUAUGUACACUUUUAAACAUAUCAUCUCAUUUAAAUUUGAAUUCGUAUAGUAAUGAAUACUUAAACUUUGCUCAAAUUACCGGCACGAAGCCUACUAGGCAUGAAGGCCCGAAUACACGUCACCAGCAUGAUUGCUCUUCGGGACCUAGCCCGGAUAUAACACCAGCACGAAUGUUCUUCGGGGUUUAGCACGGAUAUAUCACUAGCACGAAUGCUCUUCGGAACUUAGCCCGGAUACAUCACUAGCAUGAAUGCUCUUCGGGACUUAGCCCGGAUACAUCACUAGCACGAAUGCUCUUCGGAACUUAGCCCGGAUACAUCACUAGCACGAAUGCUCUUCGAAACUUAGCCCGGAUACAUCACUAGCAUGAAUGCUCUUCGGAACUUAGCUCGGAUACAUCACUAUCAUGAAUGCUCUUCGGGACUUAGCCCGGAUCAUCGUCGAGACCUUUAGCUCGGAUGAAAUCUCCACACAAAGCCAACGAAUUUUAAUCCGGACAUAAUCUCUGUACAUAGCCAUCGGGUCUUUACCCGGACAUAAUCUCUUUAUAUAGUCAGCGGGUCUUUAAACUCGGAUUCACAUCACUGAGUCUCAUACAUAUUUAUUCACAUGUUAUCAUGUUUCACAUGGCACAAAUCACAUUUACAAUUUAAUCAAUUCAUUCACAUGUAAACAUAUAACAUGAUUCUUGACUUUAAGUCGUAAAUAUCAUUCAAAUCUAAUACAUGUAUGCUUCUUUUACUAAACUUUCAGCUCAAUAAGCAAUCACACAAAAGCAUAUAUCCCCAAUCUCUUCCUUUGUUCAUUUCUCUAAUAACCUUAUUAUGAUAAGGACAAUGGGACAUCAUUCAUCUAUCAUACAUGUAUAUCAUGGCAUUUUAAGUUACAUACCAAAUUCAAUUACUCAAAACUUACUUAUGUUAUACCCUUCUCAAUAUUGACACAUCAUAAGCAUGUCUCAGUCCUCUCAAUACUAUCUGCUACAGCUCGAUCGGGAUCGGAAUUCAUUACAAUAAAUAAACACAUUUUCAAUUGUCAGAAAUCACCACACUAUCAAAUAAUCACAUAAUGGCAUGUAUAGCUAGACCCAAACGUAUUACGGUAGUCCUAAAAUCGACUAAACCGUAGCUCUGAUACCAAUAAAAUUGUAACACCCCGUACCCGAGACCGUUGCCGGAGUCGGACACGAGGGGUUCACAGACUAAAUUCGCUUACUAUCGCAGUCCAUUUUAAAAAUUUCCAGACAGCUGGCUAACUGUGUCACUGUCACCUUAAAAAUCAUAUCUUGAGUUUCACAACUCGAAAAUCAAUUUCGUGAUUUUUCUCUGAAACUAGACUCAUAUGUCCAUCUACAUAUUUUUUUCUAGAAUUUUUGGUCAGGCCAAUUAGUACAGUUUAUUAGUUAAAGUCUUCCCUGUUACAGGGUGCGACUACACUGACCUUCAUGCAUUACAAUUCGGAUAUCUCCCUGUACAGGGCUUCAAUACUGAUGCCGUUUGUUUCUAUAGAAACUAGACUCAGAGAGGAAUCUAUACAUAUAUGGCAUGACUCCUAAUUAUCUUUGGUUAAUUUAUAAUGAAUUUCCAAAGUCGGAACAGGGAAUCCAGAAACCGUUCUGGCCCUGUCUCACGAAAACCUAAUUAUCUCUUAACAUACCACUCAUAUGACCGUUUCGUUGCUUCCAUAUGAAAUUGGAUUCAUCAAGGUUAAUUUAAAUAAUUUAUUCACUAUUUAAUUCUAUUCCUACUAUUUUUAGUGAUUUUCCAAAUCUACAUCACUGCUGCUGUCAGCAUCUGCCUUUAAGGUAGACUUUACCUAUUUCAUAGUUUCCAUGAUUCAACUAGCCCUUUUAGCAUAAAUAGCACAAAUUAUGAUAGUGAUUAACCAUUCCCAUGGCCAAUCCUUGUUAAGCAUAUCCACACCUCUCAAUAACCAUAUCCAUACCAAAUGAUUAUAACAUUAUGCUCAAACAUAUAUAAGCCAUUUUCGCAUGGCUAUCCAAAAUUAUACAAAUCCAAAGGGUCCAUGACCCACUACAAAAAGGGUAGUCCUAUACAUGCCAUUUUCAGAGUUCAACCAAAAGUGUACCAAAAGGGCUUUGAUAGUGUGGGCGACUUCGACUUCAAUAAUCCCGAGUCUGAUAGCUGACGAACCAAAAUCUAUAAAACAAAGAUUCAAAGAACGGAGUAAGCAUUUAAUGCUUAGUAAGUUUUAAGCAAGACAAAGUGUUCUCAAUCACUAUUAUUGGUCAUUCAUUUCAACUGUUCGAUGAAGUUAAUCUAGAGCUUCAUCUCGAUCUAUAAUAUCAUUAAACUCAACACUUGGCUGCCACAUAUAUACUUUCGAAUAAUAAUGACCUAGAUGGUCAAAUAUUUCCAAAGCACAUUCUCACAUUUGGAGUUAUAAUAUUAAUCACAUUUACCUACCUCUUUGAUACUGAUAAUUCACCUCGAAAUCACUCCAGCGAUGAGUAAGUAAUACGUACCUGAACAUCUUGAAUACAUAAUACUUAUUUGAUGGUAACUUAAUGCAAAUACUCAAUAUCAAAGUCUUACUUGAAUCCUAGCAUUUAGCUGUCGGGUCUUUAAAGCUCAGAUAUAGUACGAGCACGAAGCCUACGGACAUUAAUCAGGAUAAUAUUCUCGCAUAAAACCUGCGGGGUUUUAACCCGUAUAUAGUACUGACACAAUUGCCCUUCGGGACUUAUCACAUUUAUACACUUUCACAUCCAUCACGUUGGCCACUCGGCCCUGUCACAUAUAUACACUUUCACAUUCAUCACAUCGGCCAUUAGGCCUUAUCACAUAUAUACACUUUCACAUUCAUCACAUCGGCCAUUAGGCCUUAUCACAUAUAUAUACACUUUCACAUUCAUCACAUUGGCCAUUCGGCCUUAUCACAUAUAUAUACACUUUCACAUUCAUCACAUUGGCCAUUAGGCCUUAUCACAUAUAUACACUUUCACAUUCAUCACAUCGGCCAUUCGGCCUUAUCACAUAUAUAUACACUUUCACAUUCAUCACAUUGGCCAUUCGGCCUUAUCACAUAUAUAUACACUUUCACAUCCAUCACGUUGGCCUUUCGGCCUUAUCACAUAUAUACACUUUCACAUUCAUCACAUCGGCCAUUCGGCCUUAUCACAUAUAUAUACACUUUCACAUUCAUCACAUAUAUAUACACUUUCACAUUCAUCACAUUGGCCAUUAGGCCUUAUCACAUAUAUAUACACUUUCACAUUUAUUCAAAUAUACUUCACAUACCACAUAUACUAUCAUGUACAGUCUUGGUCUUGGCCGAAUCUACAUCCAUCACUUUCCAAUGAAUAAUUCAAUUUUACGCCAUACUAUCAUUUCAUGUUCGAAUACUCAUAAGCUUACAAUAUCACGAUUUAGAAUUCAAGUAUGGGUUUAAUCAAUAGCUUAUGAGCAACUAAAACAAGUUUUAUCCAUGUUUACAACAAAAUCACAUAUUCACUACGAGCUGUUUUCCUGAGCAAUGGUCACUAAAUUAUUUAUAACCGGAGCUACAAAACUCCAAAUCACUUACCGUUAAUUUUUCCUGAAUAUAGACUCGUAUAUCUUCCAUCCAUAAAAUUUCCAGAAUUUUAGGUUUGGCCAAUCAAUACCAGAUUUUUCUUAAAGUUUCCCCUGUUUCACUGUUUGACUAAUCUGACCACUCUUCACUACGAAUCAAAUUUAUCAUUUUACAGAAUUCAAAAUGUGUUUUAUUUGAUUUCAUUUGAAACUAGACUCAUUAAGGAGUCUAAGCAUAUAAAUUUUAUCUUAUAACCAUUUUUGUACAAUUUAUAAUGAUUUUCUAAAAACAGAACAGGGGAUUUCGGAGUCAUUCUGACACCGUCUCACACAACUUUAAAUAUCUCUUUAUAGGAAAUUUGUUUGCUCACAAGGUCUCUUUUAUAACAAACUAGACUAAUUAAGCCUUGAUUACAUAUUUUAUUCAGCCUAUAAUUCCGCAUCAACAAUUUAUAGUGAUUUUCUAAAAUCACGUUACUGCUGCUGUCCAAAGCAAAUUAUUACAAUUUGUUCUUAACUUUCCAAGUCCGAACACAUAUGAACUUACCAUUUGAGUUUAAGACAUAUCAUGGCCACAUCAUAUCUUAUUAAAUCAACUCAUUAUGUCCUAUUAUGAUUGAAUUUACUCAACGUUUAAUCACUUAAAACUUACCUCGGAAGUGGUCGACGACUAAAUAUCCACGGCUAUUCGUUUACUUUCUCUUUAUCCAAAAUUGCCCCUCUAUGCUCUUGAGCUUAAUUAACAAAAUUUAAACUAUUUUAAUCACCUUGUUAUAUCAUUAAAAACAACAAGGUAAAUCUUCUCAAUGAAACUCAUACAUAAGGCAACACCUCGAUACAUCUGCACACAUUCGGUAUUUCAUAAAAACCAUCCCAAAUACAUUUACCUAGGUAUCACCAUGUCGCCUUAUAUACAUAUACUAGUUAUGUGGUCAAUUUUUCCGAUGACCUAUGCAUAUAACUAAUUACACCUUUAAUAAUAUUCACAAAGCCGAUUAUCCACAUGACUACCUUAGCAUAUUAUUAGUUAGCUUCUUAUCCAAAUUUGCCAUAAAGAAAAUUAACUCAUAUCCCCUCAAGUGCAUAAGCAAUUGCAUCCAAAGGACACUUUAAAUGCAUGUUAUGAAGGUAACCGAAUGCACAUAUAUUUAUACCAAGGCAUCAUAUACUUCAAACCAACUAUCAAGGCAUAAAGCCGAACCUUCAAAAUCAAUUAUCAAUACACGUUCAAACAUGCCCUCAUACAAAUAUACAAGUUCUCCCUUGGUUAAACUAAAUCAUGCUUUAAGGUUUAAUGUUCAUCUUUAACACAAUUACCACACUUCAAACUAAAUUUUCAGCUUCAUAUAUCCCACACCAGAUUUUUUUUUCCAUGCUCAAUUUCCAUGGCCGAAUGAAAUUAUGCCCUAAUUCAUGAACUUAAACAACAUUGGCCAACUUUCCAAGCUCAUUUGAGCCAUCAAGCACAUUUAGUUUGUUCAUACUCAACUAGAAUCAAUUAUCCUCCCAAAAUCAUCAAACAUACAAAAUAUACCCCAUUAAGCUCAUGACCGAUUGCUACAUGCUUCAUGAACACAAAAAUUUUCACAUGGGUCUUGUUGCAAGCUUCAAAACCAACCAAAAUUCACAACUUUUCAAAGACAAUAACAUGAACCUUACCUUAGUUGAAGCCUUCUUUUGCUGAAUGCCCUAAGCUCAAAGGUUUCUAUUUUCUUUCUCAACUCACGGCAAGAAGAAGAAGAAAAUGGCCUUGUUAUUUUCACCUCAAACAUGUUUUUUCAUUUAUUUCAUUAACUUUUAUUAUAUUCUUUCUCCCAUAACACACUAACACAACAUGUUUCCAACAUGUUUCACCCCAUAACAUUUUGUCCACUCUCAUGCUCAUGGCCGGCCACUACUAAUUAGGGGGGAAAUUGACAUGCAAGUCCACCCUUUUUAUUUCAUGCACUAAUAGAUCCUUAUGUUUUGACCUAUCACAUUUCAAAAGUGUCACACAUAAGUCCUAUUGACUAAAUUCACAUGCAAUUUACUAAAUAAGAGCUUAAAACUUUCACACAUUCGUAUUCACAUAUAAUAGUCAUAAAAUAUGACGGCUAAUUAUUUUUAUGACUCGAUUUUGUGGUCCCGAAACCACUUUUCAACUAGGGUCAAAUUAGGGGUGUCACAAGUAUAGCUCUAGAAGAUUACGAGCCUUUAAACUUCGAUUUCCCGAAUGAAGAUUUAAUGUAUGUGACAAAUACUGAAGAAGAUUCUUAAGAAGGUCAUCCUUGGAAGCUAAAUUUCGAUGGAGCCUCAAAUGCCGUGAGAAACAGAAUUGGGGCAAUCCUGGUAUCCCCAAACGGAAAUCAUUAUUCAUUCACUAAUAAAUUGAAUUUUGAUUGCACGAAUAAUAUGGAAAAAUACGAAGCAUGCAUAAUGGGCAUCCAUGCAGCCAUAGAACGCGAGAUCAAAGUGCUGGAGAUAGACGAAGAUUCUGCACUAGUAAUUUAUCAACUCAAAGGUGAAUGGGAGACGAGAGACCCCAAGUUGAUCAAUUAUCGAAGGCUUGUUCUAGAGCUAAUUGAAGAGUUUGAUAAUAUCACCUUCUAUUACCUCCCACGAGAUGAAAAUCAGAUGGCUGAUGCCUUGCUUAUUUUGGCUUCCAUGAUCAAAGUGAACAAAUAAGAGGAUGUAAAACCUAUCCAGAUGAGUAUUUAUCAGGCUUCGGCUCAUUGUUACAACAUCGAAGAAAAAGAAGAAAAGGAUGAUCACCUUUUGGUACCACGAUAUACUACGAUAUAUGAAGAAUCGUGAGUACCCUAACCAAGCAAAUGAGAAUGAUAAAAGGACGCAAAAAAGACUGGCCAGUAACUAUGUUUUAGAUGGAGAGAUCCUAUAUAAAAGAAGAAAGGAUCAAGUGCUACUAAGAUGUGUAGAUGCUGUCGAGGCUAAGAAAAUCUUGGAAGAAGUCCAUGAGAGGGUCUGUGGGACACAUGCCAAUGGUUUUACCAUGGCCAGACAAAUCAUGAGAUUCAGGUAUUAUUGGUCCACCAUGGAAAGGGAUUGCAUCAAUUAUGCCAAGAAAUGCCAUUAAGUGUCAAAUUUAUGGAGAUAAAAUUCAUGUACCUCCCUCACCUUUUAAUGUUAUGACUUCUCCAUGACCUUUCUCUAUGUGGGGUAUAGAUGUCAUUGGACCAAUCUCACCUAAAGCUUCUAAUGAGCAUCGAUUCAUCUUCGUGAUCAUCUAUUACUUCGCCAAGUGGGUAGAAGCCACUUCAUAUACCAAUGUCACAAAGCCGGCAGUCAGCAAAUUCUUGAAGAAAGAGAUCAUAUAUCGGUAUGGAAUGCCAGAAAGGAUCAUAUCUGACAAUAAAUUGAACUUAAACAAUAGUACGAUAGCGGGGGUUUAUAGUCAAUUCAAGAUCAAACACCACAACUAGUCACUAUAUCGCCUAAAAAUAAAUAGUGCAGUAGAGGCAGCCAAUAAGAACAUUAAGAAGAUCGUGGGGAAAAUGACUGAGACGUAUAAAUGUUGGCAUGAGAAACUACCAUUUGCCAUCUAUGCUUAUCGAACAUCUAUCAGGACCUCAAUCAGGGCAACACCUUUCUCUCCGGUUUAUGAAAUAGAGGCAGUUUUACCCAUUGAAGUCGGGAUUUCUUUUUCUCUGAGUUUUGACAAACUUGAAAUUGGAGGAAGCAGUAUGGAUCCAAUCCCGAUAUGAUUAGCUAAACUUGAUUGAAGAGAAAAGGUUGAAAGCCAUCUUUCAUGGUCAGAUGUACCAAAAGAGAAUAAUGCGAGCUUACAAUAAAAAUGUUUGCCCUAGAGAAUUCUAUGAGGGAGACCUAGUAUUGAAAAAGAUCUUGCCCAUACAAAAAGAUUUCAAAGGCAAAUGGAUGCCAAAUUGGGAAGGACCUUGUGGGGACAAGGUCUGCAUGUGAUGUGGACAAUUUCUUGUGGAGGAUGGAAAACUACUUCCGUGCCAAAGGCAUCAUGGAGGAUGCGGUUAAGGUAAACACUGCUUCAAUGUUUCUUACUGAUGUUGCGCUUUUAUGGUGGCGAGGUAGGACCACAGAUAAAAGGCGAGGUGAGAUUGGGACGUGGCAAGAGUUCCAAUGCGAGUUGAAGGGACAGUUUUACCCAGAAUUUGCCGAGGAAGAAGCUCGGGCAAAGUUGCAAGAGAUAAUGCAACGGGGCACAGUGGGGGAGUAUGUUCGAGAGUUCAAGGAACUAAUGCUCCAAGUUUUAGAUGUGACCGAUGAAGAAGCAUUGCUUGCUUUUCAAAAGGGAUUGAAGCCGUGGGUCAGACAGGAGGUGGAACAAAGAGGUGUCCAAAAGCUGUCGGAAGCCAUUACGAUAGUUGAGUCCGUGGGCAAGCUUGGUUUAGGGAAAGACAAGCUUGGGUCUUCUUUUCUAGAGAAGCGUUGAUUUUGACUAAGAUGGAUGACAAAAGCUUUUCCAAUCCUGUGAAUUCAGAUUCAGUCAAGAAAUACUUCAACUAAAAAAAAGGGAGAGGCCAAGGUGAAAACUUGCAAAUGGCGCAUUAAGACCAAAGGGGUUUUGAGUUGAAAACCCAAAAAAGGGCAAUUCAAAUUUUGAUCAAAGCUGAGCCAUAUAGAAGUCCUGUCCUAUCAUAACUAACAAGAAAGAGAGAUGUUACAUCUUGGGAGCAUCAACAAUAUUUUAGAUCUCCUAAAACACAAAUCAAGCUUAAAAGGGUCCUUGAGAAAUUAGCGCGAGGAAGCUCAUGCUACAAUAUCUAGGGCACCUAUUUGUAUCUUAUUCACAUUGUAUUUUAGCAAUAUUUUCUAUCUUUGGUUAAUUUAUUCAUUUCAAGAUUUAUUCUCAAUAAAAUUCCUUUUGUCCAUCGUGAUAAUCUUUUUCAAGAAUUUUUCAUUAAAAUAACGAUUAAUGGACCAAUAACAUUCAAAAAGGAGUUCUACAUAUUGCUCUGAAAAGUUUUCUAAAUAGUACGAGAAUCUAAAAAUAUGACCACUAUUCAGAACUAACCGAACUUAAGAGUUGGAAACAUUUGAGAAAGAAUAGUCUAAAUUGUGACUAUUAAAGAUACCAGCUAAACAAGAAGGCUUGGUAACACAUCAGUAAUAGAAUCUUGAUAAGCAGCGAGCAAUGACAACUUAAGCAUUAAAAAGGAAUUAUUCUCGAAAAAUGACAUUAUGCAUUCAUGCAAACAUCAUUCAUACACAUCUAGUUAGGAGCAUUUGAUUCAUUCUGAUUAUAACAUCCUAUCAUUCAGCAUAAAUAGAGACCUAUGAAUUGGAUUUUACAGGUCAUGUUACCUAAAGAAGGGUGUAACAGAUCAUUAAAACCAUAAAUCUUGUACCCCUGAAAUUGUAGUGGGACGGAUUGAAGUUAUAAUGGCAAAUCUUAUCUCCCUAAAGUUGUAGUAGAGCAUAUUGAAGUUAUCAUGGCGAAUCUUAUCUCCCUGAAGUUGCAUUGGAGCAUAUUAAAGCCACUAAUCUCAUCUCCCUAAAGUUGCAGUGGAGUAGAUUGAAGUUAUCAUGGUGAAUCUUAUCUCUUUGAAGUUGCAGUGGAGUAGGUUAAAGCCACAAAUCUUAUCUCCCUGAAGUUGCAAUGGAGCAAAUUGAAGCCACAAAUCUUAUCUCCCUAAAGUUAUAAUAGAGCUGAUUGAAGUUAUCACAGCAAAUCUUAUCUCCUUGGAGUUGCAGUGGAGCAGAUUGAAACCACAAAACUUAUCUCCCAAAGUUGUAGUGGGAUGGAUUGAAAUUAUUAAGGCGAAUCUUAUCUCUUUGAAGUUGCAGUGGAACAGAUUGAAACCAUAAAUCUUAUCUCCCUGAAGUUGCAGUGGGAUGGAUUAAAAUCAUUAAAGCGAAUCUUAUAUCCCUGAAAUAGUAGUAGAAUAGAUUAAAGCUAUAAACUUUAUCUUCUUGAAGAUGCAGUGGAGCAGGAUAAAGUUACUAAUCUUAUCUCCUUGAAGAUACAGUGGAGCAAAUUAAGGCUACAAAUCUUAUCUACUUGAAGUUGCAGUAGAGCAGGUUAAAGCGACAAAUUAUAUACCUUUGAAGUUUCAGUGGGUUGGAAAAAGGUGACUUGGAGAAGAUGAACACUAAAGAAGUCAAGAUUCGACAAGACCGGGCAAAAUUGGUCCUUCUUAAAAGUCUUUACUUCAUUUCCGUUACACGACAAUGAGCAAAGAGGGGCAGCUGUAAUAACCCAAUUUGCCCGAGCCCGAAUUACAAACAAAUAAAAGGCCCAAACAAAAUCAGAUACACAAAACCAAAAAUAAAUAAUAAAAUCCAUUAAAGUCCAGUCCAUUUACAACCAAUGCCAAACCCAAUUUACAAAUACAAGCCCAAGUACAAAGGACAAGCCCAACAGAAUUACACGGCCCAACAGGCCUAAAACUUUAAAAAAAUUUCAGAAAGCCAGAAACCUUAGGGUUUCUGGCACCGUUUCUCCUUGGCCACAUCACCCAUGCCUCUUCUGAGGUUCCUCGUCCCUAGGCCCGUCUGUAACCUUGCACCAAGAUGGAAAAAUCCCUCCUCCACCUCCGCCAACGCCUGCAAAUGAGCAAAAAAAGGGAAAGCAAAAACAAAGCAAAAUAAACAGUAGAAAAUAAUAGUAAACAUUUUGUAUUCAGUUAUAAAGCCACCGAAAAAAUGAUUGUAAAUACAUAGACAAUUAAUCAAAAACAAAACUUAGUUAAAAAAGAUGUGAUUUUUUCUUCUAUGUAUUCUAGUUUAUUUUACUGUAUUUUUAUUUUGUAAAUAAUAAACGAAAACAUCAAGAGAGGAGAUCGAAAUUACCUAACGCCUUGCGUCCCGUUGCUAUAGGCGGCCGAUGUCUGUCGUUUUCGAUGAAAAAUAAUGUCUUUAGCCUUGGGAGGUCGAAAAAAAUAUAAAAAAAGACCUUUUUGUUUUCCGGCCACCGUGGACGGCGGCGCCGUCGUCGCGACCAGCAGUCGCCACGGUGGUCGAUGGUCGAAACCGGGGCCGGAAACUGUGAUAGAACAAAGAAAUGAAAUUUUUUUUAAGAACUGUUGCUGAAAUGAGGGUAUGAAGGAUUUUUUUUUGUAUUUAUAUAGCCCCUAUAUGACAUCGUUUAGGGCAGCCUCCUGAAGCCCUAAAAUGACAUCAUUUCCACCCUAGGAUCCGCGUGUCAACCCGACCCGUUCAGAGGAUCCGCAUGUUUUGGGGCGAAUAGGCUAUUUGCUACUUUAGUCCUUUCGUAUUUUUAUAUUUUUCAAUCUAGCCCUGUCUAUGUUUUAUGUAUUUAUAAUUUUUCCACAUAAGUUUACUCUCUUUUCAUUUCGACCCUUUAUGAAAUGGUGCGUUUUGGAGGACAGUGAAUAUUUCCCCAUUUGGCCCCUCCAUGUUAUUCGCACUUUUCAAUGCGGUCCCAUAUUUUAUUUUAUUUUAUUCUGAUUUACGCCCUUAAAUUCCAUUUAAUUUUCAUUUUAGUCCAUUUUUAUGUUUAUUCAUCUAUUUUAUUAUAAUUUAGACUCUCAAUUUUAUUUAAAUCUCAAUUUAAUCCUUUAUUCACUUAACUUUAUCUUUUAUAUAUGCAUCUUGAUUUGUUUUAUUUGAUUUAUUUAUUUUUACAUUCAUUCGUUCAUUUAAUUUUUUUUUACUCUUCUUGUACUUAGAAUUUAUAUGAUUCUUUAUUCCUUUGUUUACACAUAUUAUUAUUAUUAUUGACCAUUCAUGUAUUUUAUUUACAAAUUGCACCCUUAAUUCUAUUUAUAUUUUAAUUUAGUCCUUUAUCUUCAAUAUUUUAUAAAUUAUUUUCCCCAAUCAUUUUGUGAUUUAUAAUUUGUUUUUUUUCUUAAUUCUUUAUUUAUUUAUUUUCAACUUUUCAUUAAUUUUUUUUUGUGUUGUCAUUUAAUUAGUCAUUUAUAUAUUUACUAUUGCGAUCUGAACUUCUCAUACUUUUUAUUUCGCUAUUAUUUACUCAUUAUUUAUGCAUUUAUUAUCGCUUUAUUUUUAUUUUAAGGUUUAUAUUGGUCAUAUUUACACAUUCCUUAUUCAUUAUUUGUACAUAUUUCAUUCCUUAAUUAUAUUUUUACGUGUUAUUUACAUUUAUCAUUAUUACUUAGUAUCUUUCACUUCUAUUUUUUUAUAUUUUAAAUUUACUCAUUUAUUUUAUUAUGAUGCGAUUAUUAAUACUAACCAAAAUUAUAUUAUUAUGGUAUUUUUUUAUCUAUUUAUAGUAUUCCUAUGUCAAACAUUAGGUUUUAAAAUCAUCCAUUUGUACAUUAAGCCUAAAUAAACUAAAUACAUAUAAUUUAAAUACUACGUUCGAUGUUAUUCAAAAGAGGGAAGAUUUUUCAAAGUAAGGCAAUAUUUUGUGUUUGGGGACUUGAGAAAGUCGUACCCUAACUUACGGGGUUUCGAUUUUUCUCGUUGGAUCUAAAUAACUAAAUAUUCUUUUAAAAUUGAAACACGUGAAAGUUCAAAAAUAACUUAUUCUAAAAAAUUUGAAGUGUCAUGUCCUAACUUACGGGACGUGACGUUUUGUUGCCUCGAGAUAAGAAGGUCUUCCAUAAUUUUCGACUUAUUCAAGCAAAUUUUUAAGUAAAAAUAACAUAAUACAAAGAGGGAUUGUAUUUUUAAAUUAUUUUCAAAUUUUCAACUUUCAACAUUAAGACAUUAAUUAAUCGAUGAGGUACCAAUUUUGGGCGUUAUGAGGGUGCUAAUCCUUCCUCGUACGUAACUGACUCCUGAACCCAUUUUUCUAAAUUUCGUAUACCAAAAAUCAUUGUUUUAGUAAAUCAAACCCUUUAUUAAAACAAGCAAAUUACGAGGUGACCGAUCACAUCUCACAAAAAUUAUUGGUGGCGACUCCCAAUUUUCGUUUUUCAAAAUAAAAAGUCGACCUUUUCAAAAAAUGGUUUCGACAGGCAUCAUAGAAUAUUACAGCUAUUCCAAAUUAACCUUUUUGUAUUCAAUAUAUGAUAAUGAACUCAUUUGGUUGGUCUUAUGUCUAGAUUGUAUUUGAUAGUUAGCAUAUUAGUUUUGUUAAAUUAACUUAAAUCUUUGAAAUGUUAAAAUUGAAUGUAAUUACAUGAUUAAUCGCAUGGAAAAGAUGUUAAUUGAAGCAUGUUAUUUACAUUAAAGGUGUGACUAAUUUGGAGAUUGCACAAAUUACUUACUUGUUCUAAUUGUUAAAUUGAAUUGAGUUGUAAAUAUAGUGUGAAUUUUUAUUCCUUUACUUAUAGAUAUAUGCACGAGUAUGUGAGUUACAUGUAUUCCUUUUUAUGUAAGUAUGAUUUGAAAUGAAUGAUUUAUGGCUAAGAUUACAACACAACAACUUACUUUAUUUUCUAAUACUAGUAAUAUUUGUAUACAAAAAUUGAAACUGCAUAAAACCUUUUCUGUAUAAAAGAUAUAGAAAAGUAAAUGUACUUGAAAAUCUUUUUGGAGAAAUUAUUUUAUUUGCAUGCCCCUUGUAAUUGGGUUCCAUAUAAAAUACCUUAUAAAUUUAUGGAAUGAUUAUCCUCUUAACUUAAAAUAUUUAAAGUUGUGGGAGCGGCUAGCUAAACUUGAGAAAAAUAAUUUUUUUCCUGAUUGCAUGAGUUAUUUUGAACAUAGCGUUGCAUUUAUGUUGAAAAGUCACAUGCUACAUCUUUAUUUUCAAUACUAGUAAUGAGUAAAGAGUUUUCUUGCUUCUAAAUUUGAUAUGAAAGAUAUGGGUAAAACAAAUAUUAUAUUAAGUGUUAAAUUCAUAAGAAAAGAUAAUAAUAUAAUGCUAUAUCACAAUAAUAUUAUAUCGAGAAAUUUUUAAAAAAGUUUGAACACUGUAAAAUUAAAUUUGUGAGUACUCCUUAAGAUGCUAAUACUUAAUUAAAGAAAAUAGGGGUAAGUACAUAGAUUAUUGGGAGUCUGAUGCAUUUAAUAAUAUUUUCUUGACCCAAUAUAGCAUCUGUUGUAUGUAAAUUGAGCAGAUAUACACAUAACUCAAAAUCAGGAGCAUUGGGUUGCUAUAGUUAGACUCAUGAGAUACUUGAAAGGUACUAUGAUUUAUGGUAUUUUUUUUAGUGGAAUUCUCGUUGUAUUAGAAGGUUAUGGUGACACUAGAUUUCAUAUUUAGAUAAGACAAAAUCCACUAAUAGUUAUGUGUUCAUUUUUAGCGGUGGUGCAAUUACUUGAAAAGCAACCAAAUAAACUCUUAUAGCUAAAUCUACCAUUGAGUUAGAGUUUAGUUGGUUAGUAAUGAAGUUUUGUGGUGGGAAAACUUAAAUGGUAAAGAAUAAGACUUUUAAUGGUAAAAAUAGAUAAACUCAUCUAAGAUAUAGUAUGAUAAAAUAACUUCAAAAAGAUAGAAUCAUAUCUAUAAGGCAGAAGUAAAGUUGGUCAAUUCUCUAGCUAAACCUCUAAGAAGAACAUUAAAAAAAAAAAACAUCGUGGGAAAUGGGAUUACUAUCAACUUGAGAUAUCAAUAUUAAUGGCAACAUGACAUAUGUGAUUGGUAAUCCCAUGAAUUAUUUUUAUAUGGGUAAUAACCAGUCAUUAGUUGAUUCAUUGAACACUAUGAGUGAUGUCCUUCCUAUGAUUUAAGUAGUGCUAAAAUUGAAAAGAAAAUAAGAUAAAAACUCUUCAUCAAAUUCAUAUUCUUUAUAGAUGGUGUAUUAAUUUGCAGUGUUCACUUGAUGAAUUAAUCUAUAUGAGUGUAUAACAAAGCUGCUUCUAUGAGAUUUGUAGUGAAAUCUCUAGAGUACAGAUGAACUAUACAUAAACACACUUCAAGUUCCAGUUUCUUCGUUGAUUCAAAUAUUCUAUUUGAUGUUGCUUUUGUUGUUGUAAGAGGUAUUAUGACCUCCUUUUGAAUGUGCCCUGUGCAAUUUGAAAUGAAUCGAUAUUUGAGAAAAAAAAGGUCAUCAAUAUUCCAAUAUCAUGCAUAAUUGUAGUCCCUAAGUGACUCAACCAAUACAUGGUGAUAGUGGGAGGCCUAAGCUAAUGGGGACCCUAUUCCAACCUGCUUUUAUUUGUUGCCGUUCACUGCCAUUUAAACACUUGAUUUGUUGUUAAUAAAUUUCAAGUUGCCAUACAAAAUUCUGUAUUCAGAAGAACCAUGCGCAAGCAUUUUCACCAAUUUUUUACAAAAAAUAAUGAACUACUUGAUUAAUUAAUGAACCACUUAGCUUGGGGUUACCUGUUAUGCCUCUUUGGUGGUCCUCUAUUGCAACAAGCUUUUUUUUGUCUUUUAUUUCUCCUAACGCAUGUAAAACCUAGCACACAUUGGUUGAAAUGUGAUAACAUACAUCAACAAAUAUUGUUUUAAUUGGUAGUUGUGAGGAUGAAGAAUUCCAGCUUCAUUUGUUGCAUAUUCUUAGCUAUGCUUCUAUUGGCAUCAUCGGGUACAUUUUCUUAACCCUUGUAUUUAGAGAUUGCAGUGGAAUGGAAUAAGGAACAGAUUGCCAUGUCCAUAACCGUUUCACCCACUCUUGUAUGAAUGUUGAAAUCAUCCAUCCCAUCCUAGUUAUUUUCAUAAGCAUUUCAUACACUAAUACAUUGCUUCACUGUACUUUCUUUUUAAUGAUUUUUCAAUAUAAUACAAAGAAAUAUAUAUUUAUGUUUUAGUUAUACAUAAUGGUAUAGUUUGAUAUAUGCACGCUUUUUUUCUUUAAAAAAAAAAACUCUCCAUUUGAAGUAGAUCGAUGUAAAAUACUCGAAUUUUAUCAUCUCUGUAAUAAGAUUUUUCUUUUUGUAAGGAAUGAAUGAAAUAGCAGGAGAGGCGAGGGAAUUGCUGGUGGGAAAGAGUGGAGGGAGGUGCAUUGAAGUGAUGGACCCAAAGGGAUGUAAUCUGGUUUCUUGCAAACAGCAAUGCCUUCAACUCAAGAAUGGGAAUGGAGUUUGCUUGGCUAAUGUCAAACAGGGUUAUCAAUGUGUUUGUUACAUCAAUUGCUAACUGGAACUUGAUUUGUGUUUAUUAGAAUGCAUCAAAUAACCCUCUUCGUUUAUUUUGCUUUUAUUCUUUCAUGCUUCCUUUUCAAUUGUUUGCACAACAGAUCAUUUUGAACAUGUUACCAAACAAAAUAAUUAUAAUAUGAUACAACAUGAAAAAAUAUAUAUAUAAACAUAAAGCAAACACUAAAUUAUAUCAAAAUUUACAUCAUAAUGAUACAAAGUUUGCAUAAAUAUACACAAGAAAAGUAACGUGAAUAACCGUUUACCGCAUAAGCGAUGUCAUGCUGAGACGGCGAACAACACUGUAGAUUUGCUGAAUGCUACUUUUUGAGGAUGACCAUACGAACCACCAGAGCCAAGCCUCGAGUUCCACCUACAAGGUACUUCCCCGAACAUAAAUGUAAGAUUUUGCAGAAGAUAAAAAGAGCGCCAAUCCCAUGGCACUAAGUGCAGCCAGCAGCCAAUAGAAGUAAUCAAGAUGUGCCCUAUUAAGGUUAUUUGCAAACCAGCUAUCUUGGCCACCCUCACCAGUCAUCUUCUCAAUGGCUGAGAUGAGAAAACUACUCAAAAAGCUUCCAACACCAAAGAUGCUAAGGUAGAGUGCAAGGCCGACACUCCUUAAUUCCUUCGGCACCUGAUGAUAAAAAAAUUCUUGAAGACCAACCAUCGCAAACACAUCAGACAAUCCAGACAGUAUGUACUGAGGGAGCAGCCACCAGAUGCUCAUUGGAACUGUUACAUUUGGCUUGUCUACUAACCCAUAUUCUUCAGCAGUUUUAAGCCUCCUCAUCUCUACUAAAGCAGCAAUUAACAUUGAUAUGACAGAUAGAAGCAUUCCAGUUCCGAUUCUUUGCAGCAUUGUAAUUCCAGCCGGUUUCCCAGUCAAGGCUCUUGCUAAAGGAACAAAAAUGCGGUCAUAUAUAGGAAUGAAGAUCAUGAUCGUAAGGCUAAUAAAUGACAGAAGUGAAGCAGCAGGUAUUUUAAACCCAGCUGUUAUUGAUCUGUCCAUGGUAGCCCCUUGCUUGGUAAAGAAAGUUAUCGUUUGCGCAUAGACAAUGGCAUAAAACAAGCUUGCAGCCCAUAUUGGUGCAAGCCUUAUAACCGUCUUCGCUUCUUCAACCUCUCCGGUGCUACACACCUUUCCUUGUUCUUUUGAACCAUCAGGAGCAAGCAAAGCUUUAUUGAGGAACCUAUGCGUUACAAAAACCAUAUCGUCAUUUAAGAGAUGUCUGUGACGGGAAAAUGUAAAUAGGAACAUUGUUUUCGUAAAUCAUAUCCUAAUUCUCUCGUAUGCAAAAAUAUCUCACUUACUUGAAUUGCUUGGAACUUUCAGUUGGAAGAGUUCCUCGUGCCUCUUCCUCUGCAGCAAUUGCUGAAGAUGUUGUCUUCCAAUUCCUAACAGCCAAAAUGAACACUCUACCAAUUCUCAGAAAUGGGUUUUCUUCAUCACCUUUGAUACUAUAUCUGUAAGUUGUGGUUCCAAGCACAAAAGCAAGCAGACCAACAACCAUUACAAUAGCGGGUAUCCCAAAUCCAAGAGUCCAACUAAGAUUGUCUUGGAUGUAGGUUAAAAUCCAAAGGGUUAUGAAGGUGCCAGCACAUAUACCAAAAUACCACCAAUUAAAGAAUGAACUUUGGGCUUUACACUCCUCUGGGUCUUGUCUAUCAAACUGAUCUGCACCAAAAGCUUGAACACAUGGCUUGUGCCCACCUUGUCCAAAUGCUACUAGAUACAGUGAGAAGAAGAAUAGUAUGACUUGAAAUUGAGCAGAAGAACUUAAUAUGGUAUUAUCUGUACUUUGGUCACCAGAAUUGCUGACAGAAGGAAGUGCGGCUGACAGACUCAACAAGCCUAGACCCUGUUAAAUCAUUCCACAUCAAGUCAGCACAGAAAACGUCUAGCCAGUACUCUAAUCAAUUACUGGAACAAUUAAAAUAAUCUUGAACACCAAAUUCCAGGAAUUAUGAACUCUCUUAAUAAAAGAAAGGGAAAUUGUUUUACCAAGGUGUAAAGAAGGGAAGCAAGAAUGAUGGUGCGAUAUCGGCCAAGAAAAGAAUCAGCAAUGAAAGCACCCAAGAGUGGCAGAAGUGCCGCCGCACCAGACCAGGCGUUGACUUGAGCGGCGGCGGCGGCAGUGGAUUCGCCGAGAGGCCCCGUCAAGUAAGUUAUGAGAUUUGAGGAGAUGCCAUAAUAAGCAAACCUCUCAGCAAUUUCAACGGCAAUGAUGAAAGAAGCGGAUCUCCAGCCGCCGGAGUUAGAGCGGCGGACGGGACGGCCUUUGUAGUCAAGGGAGGCGUCAAUGGUGUCAUCUAAAAGUGGAGUUUGAGCAGUGGAGAGAUUGGAGAUCGCCAUCGCUUUUGCCAAAGCCUUGCAAUUUGGAUGUACUUAUCUCCGUCAGCAGUAAAAAAACAGAUUCAUGUCGGAUUCGCUCUUUGCUUUUGCUAAUGUUAGUAAAUAAGAAUAAUGUCAAUCUUUUUUCUACCUUAAAACUUUCUAAACACAAAGAACAAGAAAAAGGAAAGUUAAAAUAUCUCGUUGAUUUUUCAAUUUUUUUUUUGAUUUAAUUCUGUAAUAAAAUUUUAUAAAAUUAAGUACUAUUUCUUUCAUUUAAAAGUUUAUCCAUUUUCUAUGGCUUUUUUUUUUAAUUUUUAAUGUAUAUAAGAUUAAGGAUUUUUUAUUUUAAUUUAUAUAAUUACUCUAAUUAAGAUAAUUGUUUAAAUUAGUCAUUAUCUUUAAAAUUCUAUUAAUCUAUAAUUUAGUUGUUUAAUGGGAUGCUUGUAUUUACCAAAAAUUAUAUAUUUUAGUACUAAAAAAAAUAAUUGUGCUAAUUUUUAAUGCUUAAUUUGAGAUUUAGAGUUAAUUUAAUAAAAUAUAAUAAUAGAAUAAAUUUAGUGUGGAUUGUAAUUUGUUUAAUUUUGUGCGUUAAAUAAAGUUUGAAGGUUGUGAUUCUUUUUCAAAUUUUAACAUUGAUUUGAUAAAAGUUAAUUAUUAUUUAAUUAUAUUUUAUAACAUUAUCUUAAGGUUUGCCAAAUACAAAUACUAUAUUGACUCAAAAACAAACACAUGAAUCAAAACUAAAAAAAUAUCUCAAAUUCAGAUACUAAAUAAUGCAAAAUUAUUAUCUAUUUCUUAUAUUAUUUUUAAGGGUUUUUUUUUACCCUUUAUCUUUUUAACUUUUUUUUUCUUUUAAGAAUUAAUAUAUCAUUUGGUAAAUGAGUUCAGUUUUAAUGUUUAAUUUAAUACCUAAGUUGACUUCAAUAUUUAAAUUGGUACCUUGACCAAAUGGCAUCAUGUCCUGCACUGAAUAUUUAACACGUGUGCUCUAAUAAAAAAAUGCAGGUACUUAAUUGGGACAAAAAAAAUGCAAAUAUCAAAUUAUACAUUGAAGUCAAACUUAAAUAUCAAAUUCAAAAAAGAAGCUCAAAGAUCGGAUUAAAUAUUAAUGUUAAACUCGAGUACCAAAGAGUAUAGUAACCCCUCUUUUAGUUAUAAUCUUUUGAUUUUUUUUCUAAAAAAAAUAUUUAUAAAUUAGAAGAUUAAAAAAAUUUAUGAACAAUAUAUCCUUGAUAUUUAUUUUACAGUCCAGGAAGGUUGUGACAGCCCUAAUUUGGCUCUAGUCUGAAAGUGGUUUCGGGAUCACAAAAUCGAGUCCCAAAAAUAAUCAAAUGUUAUAUUAUGUGUUUAUUUCAUGUGAAAGUGCAUGUGUGAAAAUCCCAUGCUUUGAUUCUGCCAUUUGUGAGUGAAAUUAUGAAAUAGGACCUAUGUGAAAAUUUUUGAAAAUGCUAUAAGCUAAUAUGUAGUGGCCUAAUAAAUAGUAGUGCAAAAUAGGAGGAUUUGCAUGUCAAACUCCCCAUUUUUUGUGUAGUCAACAUGUGCAAAUUUUUUUUUAUUGAAGUUAUGACAUAAGUAUGGCACAAAUAAUAUAUGUUAUUUUGUGUCAUAAAAUGUUUAGUAAUAGAAUAACAAAAAGGAAGAAAAGGAAGGUUUUUGUUCAUUCUUGUUCAUGAAAGCUGAAAAUAGAAGAGAAAGGAGAGGAAAAGAGCUCUUGAAUGUUCGGUCACUUGGGGAAGAAAAAUCCAAGGUAAGUUCAUGGUAGUUUGCUUCUAUCUUGAUGUUCAUGGGUUCUUCUUGAUCCUACCCUAACUCAUGAAGCAUAUUUUGAUUUUUGGUUGUGUUGUGAGCAUUCGGUCAUGAAUUAAAAUGAAGGAAAUGGUUGUUGUUUCAUGUCCUUUUGAUGAAAAAUGGAAGAUAGGUGAAGUUGAGCCAAGCAAAUGAGCAUGCAUGUGCCUUAGAUGCUAAGGGAAAGAUCGGCUAACAUGUUGUGCUUUAAAAUGAUGAAAUGAAGAUUAUGCUUAAGUAAAAUUAUAGAUAUGUGAUGAGUGAUUGGUGAUAUGCAUGUUUAAAUAACAUACAUGCAAGGUAUGUGUGAAAGAGUGAUUUGGUAAUAAAUCUGUUUGGGACAGCAGCAGUAACGUGAUUUUGGAAAAUCACCAUAAAUUGUGGGAGAUUAGUUAGAAGCUGAAUAAAUUAUUUAAUUAAAGCUUAAUGAGUCUAGUUUCUUAUAAAACAAACCACGUAAGAAAAAAAAUUUCCGAUAAUGAGAUAUUUUAAGUGAUGUGGGACAGGGUCAGAAUGACUUCUAGAUCCUCUGUUCUGUCUUUAUAAAAUCAUUAUAAAUUGUAAAAAAAUGUUCAUAAGAUGAAAUUUAUAUGCUUAGACUCCUUAAUGAGUCUAGUUUCAAAUGAAAUAAACUAUAACAUAUUUUGAAUUCUGUACAAUAAGAAAUUUGAUUUGUAGUGAGGAGUGGUCAGAUUAGUCAAACAGUGAAAUAGGGGAAACUUUAAGAAAAAUCUGGUAUUUAUUGGCCAAACCAAAAAUUCUAAAAAUUUUAUGGAUGAAAGAUAUAUGAGUCUAUCUUCAGGUAAAAUUAACAACACUUGAUUUUGAGUUUUGUAGCUCCAGUUAUAAAUGAUUUAGUGACUGUUGCUCAGGAAGAUAGCUUGCAGUGAAAUUAUGAUUAUGUGGUAAACAUUGACAAAAAUUUGUUAAUGAGUUGCUUAUUGAUUUCUUAUAAGCUUACUAUGAUCAGUAGGUGUGAAAGUCGAAUAUAUAUAUGUAUAUAUUAUAUUUUGAAAGUGAUGCUUGAAUAGUCGAAUAAUGACUAGUUUAAAAUCUUUGAAUUUAAGCUCAAUAGCAUAGAGGGGCAAAAUUCGGAUAAGGGAAAAGAGAAAGUAAUUGAAUAGCCAUUGUAAUUGUUUGGCAACAUUCAAGGUAAGUUCUUAAGUGUUUAAGCUUGAUUCCUUUUUAUAUGCCCAAGAGUUAAAUUAAUAUGGAAAAGGGAAUGUAAAUUUUAUUUAGUUAAUGUGCCGAAUAUGUAAUGAUUUAAGGCUAUAAGCCGAUUAUGGCUAUUAUGCUUAAGUUGAAUUGGAUUUGGAAAUUUGAUGCACUAAAUGAGUGUUACAAUGAAUAAACUGUGCCGUAUAUGUGCUGGUGGAGAUAUCACGAUUUGUGAUUAUUAAAUACCUAAAGGAAACCAUGAUGUGUAUAAAAUUAUUAUUAUUAGUCCUUUGUGGUAGCCGAAUAUGGCUUGGCACUAAAGUGAUUAAAUGUGAACUUCGAUAAGGUAAACUAUUAAAAGUGUGGUGCUAUAAGACUAUGGGCUAAUACGAUAUGUGGAUUCGUUCCGUAAAGUAAAUUAUUAAGGUAUGUGAUAUGUACUUAUGCAUGUUAAAUCGAUUGGAAUUGAAUCAUCAAUGUGAAUUGCGAAGCAUAGGUAAAAAUGCCUAUGACAUAUAUGUGAGUAAGGGUAAAACCAUCGUAAAUUAUCGAUAAGGAUGGGCUAUGUGCGGAACCAUCUUAUAAUUGCUAAUUUGAAAGGUUGUGUGUGAAUUAGUGAGCAAUAUGUAUAUAUUAGAUGAAUCGUGACAUUUUGGUUCUACUUGAAUUAAGUUGUGCGAUAAAUAAUUUAUGUAUAUGACUUAUAGUCGAAUGGUCACUAUGGGUUAAGUUUGAAUGGUAAAAUGGAUAUGUGAUAUUUAUGAAUGACUUUUGAACCGAAAUGUAAACGAUAGUGUUCAUAUGGAGCUUAUACCCGAAUGUUGCAAAUGACUACGAAUGUGAUAUGUUGAAUGAGAUGUAUUAAUAUAUGAUUAAAUAUGCAUGAUAUUUGAUGUGUAUUCGGGUUAAAUCCCGCAGGCUUCGUGCUGGUAUUAUAUCCAGAAUAAAUCCCGCAGGCCUAGUGCUGGUAUUAUAUUCGGGCCUUCGUGCCUAGCAGGCUUAGUGCCGGUGAUGUGUAUUCGGGCCUUCGUGCCUAGCAGGCUUAGUGCCGAUGAUGUGUAUUCGGGCCUUCGUGCCUAGCAGGCUUCGUACCGGUGAUGUGUAUUCGGGCCUUCGUGCCUAGCAGGCUUCGUGCCGGUGAUGUGUAUUCGGGCCUUCGUGCCUAGCAGGCGUAAUGCCGGUGAAAUGAUAUGUUAUGUGAAUUCGGUGUUCCUUGUAAGAUAAGGGUUUAGCCGAAUGUUAAAGAUGAAAUGAUAGUGUAUUGUAUCAUGCUUAUAUGGCCUAAUGGCAAGUAUAACAUGUUGGUAAAAAUGCAAUAUGCUUUUAUAAUCGAAUGAUAAGUUUGAAAUGAACGUGAGUGAAAUGUUAUGCAUAAGCUAUCAAAUGCUAAGUGUGAAAAUGAGAUGAAAGAAAAGUGUUUGAGAUAUAUAAUUAUAUACGUUCGAAUGAUGUUAGUACUUAAUUGAUAUGAAUAUGUUAUAUGGAACUUGUUGACUUGAUUAUUCGGGCCUUUGAGCUUAGCAAACUAUAAUACCGGUGAGAUACUAUUCGGGCCUUCGAGCCUAGCAGGCUAUAAUGCCGGUGAACUGAUAUCGGGCUCGAGCCUAACAGGCGAAAUGUCGGUGAUUUGAGAAAAGUCCAUGACUAAGGUACCUCAUGUUAGGUUGACAAAUGAAUACAUUCAGUACGUUAAGUGGGCCAGGUACGCAUUAUGUACUCAUAUGUGAGUUUGAUCUGCAAUGAAUCAUAAGCGUGCAUUGUGAUACAUACGUGAAUAAAUGUUAUAACUAUAUCUAUGAUCAUGAUACACCGGGUCAGGGUGUGAAAGUAUGUGAAAGUAUUCGAUAAUUAUGUUAUAUGAAUUCAGAUUAAGUGUGAUAAGAAUGCUGAACGUGCAUUAUGUGUUUGUGUGUAUUCGGCCAGAUGGCAAUAUACCUAGAAUAUGGCCACUUAAGAAAUUGAAUAAUCGAAGUAUAAUUGCGUUUAUUUGUUUGCAUUGCUUAAGACUUACUAAGCUUAUGAAAGCUUACUCCGUUGUUACAUUCCUCUGUUUUAUAGAUUGUUGACUUCGGUUACCUGCUCGGGUUGGAGUUCACCGGAGAUAUUAUCACACUGUUGAGCUCACGCUAUUGGUGUAAGUAAAUCCUAGUAUUUCGAGUCUAUGGCAUGUAUAGGGUUUUAAUGUUGAGUAUGUGAUAUUAUAAUUUAGCCAAAGGUGUUGGCUAGUGAUGUUUUGGGCCUCGUAAGCCCAUAUAUGGGACAUAUUGCAUAUGAAAAGAAAAGUUUUAAAUUAAUUGAAAUUUUUCGGCACUAUUUUUGUGUGAUUGACUGAGUUUAAGUCGGCAACACCUCGAACUCUGUUCCGGCGAGGGAUACGGGCGAGGGGUGUUACAAAGAUUAAUUCUUUUCAAGAUUUGUGACUGUCUUUUUAAACAAUAUGAUCUUCAGGGUUUGACCCUGCGAUCUCUUCUUUAGAGUUUAUUGUCUUACCAUGGCAUCAAAUAUUUGAUAAAUAAAAACUUAUAAAUACAUUAAAAAUGAAAUUUAUUUUUAAGAAAAAAAUGUUUUUCUAAGCAUUUUGGUAAAAAUAUAUUUGAAAAAAGGUAGAGUCUCCGAUUAAUGGUAAUAAUUUAUUCUUUUGUUUCAAUUAUGAAAAAUUAUAAAACAGUCUGCUAAUUAUUUUAUUUUAUAUUUUUUUGGUCAUCAGCCGUUAAAUAAUUAAUUGAAAGAUAACAUGACAGUUUUUAGAAUUAGCAUAAUUGUAAUUUUAACUAUCAAUAUUUAUUCAUUAUGUCAUUUUAAUUUUAAAAAAAUAUAAUCCUCAAUGUUAACACAUUAUGUAAUAAUUUACUAAUAAUUAAUCUAUGAGUGCGUUGUGAGAGCUUCCCAGGUUUUGAUGUAGCUUUGUUGCUUAGGAUUCUGUUUCGGGGGCCAUUUGUUGAUGUUUUUGUUGCAGGACAUUCCUUGGUUUUCUGGUGGUUGAAACCAUGUAUGAUGGAUGGCUUCACUUUGCCCUUUCCGUGACUUUCAAGGUGGUUAUCGGAGCCUGCUGUUGAGUCCCUUGCAAUGAUAUAACAUCCCUAUUCCCUGCCCUAGUUGGAACUCUGGCAUGCCCACAAUUAGGGGUGAGCAAAAUUCGAUUCGAUUCAAAAAAUUAGAUAAAAAAUUCAAAUUUUGAAUUAAGUAGUUCGAGUUAUUUAAGUUAAUCAACUUAUUCGAAUCAAUUCGAAUAAAAAAAUUAAAUUUUUUUGUUUAACUCAAAUAUGAAUUAUACAAUUCGAGUUAUUCGAAAAUUCAAAUAAAAAAAGGUAAAACUACCUUGUUUUAAUAAAUGUUUACCUUUCUAAAGUUAAAAGUGAUCAAAACCAUUAAGUUAAAAAGUAAAAUUAUGUCAUUUUGAUAAAUAUUUACUCAUUAAGUUAAAAGGUAAAAUCAUUAUAUUAUUUAUGUAGUUAAAUAAUCUUGUACUUCGUCUACUAGUUAAAUAAUCGGUCCAUUUAAACGCAAUAUUAAGUAUAAAUAAUAGGAUUCGUUAACCCAACUCGACUUAACUCGAAUUUUUUUUACUCAAUUUCGAUUCGAUUCGAAAAAAAUUCAAAUUAAGUUUGGUUGCGCUAAAUUAGGAUUCGUCAACUCAACUAACUUAAAAUUUUUUGACUUGAUUCGACUUGACUCGAUCGAAUACUCACCCUUACCCAUAUUGUUGAUAGAGGUUACUGAUCAGCCGUGCUGCCCUUUUUUUUGGUUGAUUUUUGGUUUCGUUUGCUUUUUGUGACGCUUUCUUCUCUCCAUUGAGUAAAUGUUCUUCCAUUAAAAAAAUACUAUUGACAUUAUAAUUUCUAAUCCUAAUAUAAUACUAAUCUUGUAACAACAAAUUUAAAUGUACUUUAUUCAUGCAUUAACUUUUUCUUCUAAAUUUAUCUUACUUUUAAAAGUACUGUGCACUUGUUUUUAUCUCUUCCCAAUUUAUACACGUAUUAGUAGGAUAGAUGACUUUGAUUUUUCUUUUGACUCCAUCUGGAGUUACGACCUACUCGACCAUUUGUCCUGGUUAAAGGAGUAUAAAGCUCCCGUUCUUAUAGUCGCCCGCUUGGAAAGCCUUUUUAGCCAACCCCUCCACUUCUAGAAAUGAGGUGAGCAUUUGCCUUUUAAGUGUGAACACUCGUCAAGUAUGAACGCACCUUCAAGCACAUUGGGAUCCACUUGGGCAUAACAACCUUGUAUUGAAUAACAUAAUAGACUCCACUAAUGCACAUCCUUUGCAUAUUGUAUGAUGGUAGCAUCCUUCAUAACGUCUUGUCACAUUCUACUAAUGGAUAAGGGGACCUAUUCUAUAAAUACCUUCCUAACGAUGAAGAAGGGAUAGACCUCUAAAGCCUUAGGUAUACUCUGGGCAAUUAUUCUCUCUUCUAGCAAUUAGCCUAUUUUCUUGUCCAUUUUCGACUCUCCGCCUCUUUAGGUGAACCGACUCGCGACCACGUACUCUUUCUUGUCUCCUCCCUUAUUGUGUAUUGUAUCAACAACACUAUAUUUUUAAAAUAAACAAAAAAAGUCUAUAUAUAUGUCAGAAAAACGAGCAAAAUAAUAUUUCUUAUAAUAGUAAAAAAGAAGAAGAAGAAACUAUUAAUUUUAUGAGGUGAUAAUUAAAUGUUGUAGGAUUAAUUUAAAAUUUGGUCUGGCAUUUUUAAGUGACAUAAAAUGUUCACUCAGUCUAUUUUAGACUAAUUCAAACGGUUUAACUCAACCCAAUUUCAUAUCCUGACCACGUUAAAAAACAUUGGUUCGAAUUAAGCUACAAUGAAUCAAGUGAAUAUCUUACAUCAAUUAAAAAUGUAACAUCAUUUUUUUUAUAUAUAUCACAUCAAUUAAUUAAAUUCACCCCAUAAAAUUAGUAAUUUUUCUCAACUGAUACAAAGAAAUCCAACAUUUUGCUCAUUUUUCAAACUUAUACAAAGAAAUCCAACAUUUUGCUCAUUUUUCAAAUUUACAUUUCUCACAUUUUCACACUAUAAGACAGAGACCAAUACAAUAAUUUAACCUAAAUAUUACUAUUUUACUAACGCUCAAAAUUUAUUCUUGUACAUGACUUUGGCUUUACCCAAAACAGUGCCGAUUGUUCGAGUGCAUUUCCCAAGAGCAUCACAGAUAAGUUCCCCCGGGGAUUGUCUUCCGGAGCCGGCUUUUCCUUCCGGUGAGAUGCCUUGGCCACGGUUGGGAAGCACGGAGGCUGCUUCUUUGAGAGCCUCCUUGCCAAAAUAUUCAGCCAGUUUCGGUUGCUGCUGUGGCGGUGGGGGCGAUGAGAUUGAGACAUCGGUUUUACGUUUGUCGUCUUCAUCAUGAUCAGGGACAAUAACUGUAUGUCCUUCUUUCAGUCUAACACGUUCCCUUUGUGGGGUUGGCGACCAUAUUCCAGCAGCGGCCAAAGAACCGAGUACAAGACUCAAGGCCAAAAUGUUGAUCAUCUCUCUUUAUCUUCCUACUUAUGAGAAGGUGUUGGCUGCAAAAUGAAUGGAGGUUUGAGGAUAUGUACCACAAUCCACGUUGCAUGUAGCAAGCAAACGAGAAAGUGACGCGUUUGCACUGAAUCGACCACUAUGUUUCGCACGUGGCUGCUUUUGAGGGUGCCCUCGCUGGGUUUUUUAGUUACGGUCAAGAAGAGAAAAUUCGAGAGCGGUCCUAAACUAUUGUCGGAACGACAGAAAGAAAGCCAUAGUCAUAGAGCCCUUUGUUUGGAUUAUCAACACUAAUGGAAAGUAACUAGGCAUAUUAUUUUAGGGUAAACAACAGUAAUAGUUGACGAAUUAUUAGUUAUUCAAUUUUUUAUUUUCAUCCAUUAUUACUAAAUUAUGUGAAUUUAGUCUUAUUUUUAAAAUAUUUAAUCCUCAAUAUUACACAUUAUAUAAUUUGAUAUUUUCAUUUUGUAGUUUUGCUUUUCUCUAUAACAUAGAGAGCUAAUUUUAAAAGAAUAUGAAAAUGAUUAAAAUUAUUAUCUUGAACUUUUAGUAUUUCUAUUUUUGUAUAUUUUCAAUCAAAUUUAACUAAUAAAUUUGUUUUUUUAGCUUUUAGAUGAAAAGAUCAUGACGAAAAAUAAAACUGCGCAAAAGACUAAAUUACACAAUGGGUAAAUAUUGAGGAUUAGAUUCUUUUAAGAAUUAAGACUAAAUUGACACAAUAUAUAAUUGUUGAUAGUUAAAGUUGUUAUUAUGAUAAUUUUAAAAGUUAUCACUAUAGUCCAUUAAUGAUGACCAAAAAAGACAAAUUUGAGUAGGUGGGUAAUCAUUUUGUAACUUUUCAUAAUUUAGUGACUAAAAAGAAAAUUUAUUAAUAAUUAGAUGACUACUAAUAUAAUUUAUCCAUUAUUUUACUUAGAUAAUUAAAAUAAUUAAACGAAAGAAAGUAAAAUAAUCUUAACAAUUUUAUUUGAUUAAACCGUGAAAAUGAAAUGCAGUGGUUUAUUAUGAUAGGUUUUUAUAAUUAUGACUUUUUUAUAAAAUAAUUUACCGUAUGCUUAAUUGCAUUAUAACAAAAGAAAUAAAAUGAAAGUAAAAAAAAAAAAAAAAUUGAAUUGAAUAUUUCUUCUUUUCUUUAAAUUACUUUGUUUUUAUUAGGCAAGUCGGAUUCUAGGAUUAUUUGAGAGUACAAUUAUUUAGGCCCAAGAUUGAAAAGGCCCAAAAAAUAUUUUUCAGUUUUUAAUGUUAAAAAAUUUAGACUAAAAUAAAUUAAUUAAAUAUUUAAGGCUUUUAAUUUUUUAUCAUAAAUGUUUUAUCUUCUAGGGCCCAAAAAUUUUAUUGUAUUACAUUUAUAUAUAUUUUAAAAACGGAUCAAAUUUAUUAUUUUGUCUAGAGUUUCAAAAAUGUUAAUAAUGGACUUAAUUUUGGAAUAAGAAAAAGGAAGAAAAUUUUUUAACUCUAAAUAAUUUUUAUUCUCUACAUUUUUUUAGAUAACCUAUAUUUAUGUAAAUAAUUAUAAAGAGAAAAAAGGAAAGGGUAAAUUAUCUAGUUGCUCACCCAAUUCAAUUUUCAGGGUGCUUUCAUUUUAGUCACCCAAUCAUUAAUCUAUAACGGAAAUUAACUUGUACACAUCACAUCAUGCUCACACUUUCAUUUUGGUUAUCCAAUUUUUUUUUAAUAUUGAUCCGGGUAAAAAAAAUUAAAGAUUAAAGCGAAAAAGCAAUAGAAACUAAAAUAAGGCUUUAAAAAUUGUCAAAUUGUACUUGUUUUCCCCAUUUUCGAAAGCUCUAAAUUUCAUUUUUUUUUCAAUAUUAAAAUUUUAAAUUUCAAAACAUAAAAAUCAAUUAAAUAAGUUAUUGAAUUUUUUUAUCCCUUAAUAAUGUCAACUAAUUUGUUAUUAUAUUAUUGAAAUUAAUUAAUUUAGUCUCCUUUUAUAUCUUAAUUUUUUUAUGUUUUUAAAUUAAAAUCAACUCAAAUAAAUCAUCUUUAAUAAUGGUACAUGAAACCAAAAUUUCUUUUAAUUAUACGAGCUCGAGUCUUUCAUACUAAGCUAAAAAUAAAGAAAAACCCUUAUAAUUAAUUUAAUUAAUUUUAUAUUCAUGUCAAACAAAAUCCAAAAAAUUUCAUCACUUCUUUAACCAAACAAAGAACAGGCAAUUAAUUUAAUUAAUUGUAAUUAUUUUUCUUUGCUUUUUAACUUAGUAUGGAAGAUUUAAAAUUAUAUAAUCAAAAUAAAUUUAAGUUUCACAGACAAAUAUUAAAUAUGAGUUAUCGAGUUGAUUUUGAUUAAAAAUAAUAUGGAAACAUGAAAUAAAAUUUAGAAGGAGAUUAUUUUAAUUAAUUUCAAAAUUACAGUAACAAAUCGGUUAACAUUAUUAAGGGAUAAAAAUUUUCAACAAAUUAUUUAAUUAAUUUUUAUGUUUUGAAAUUUAAAUUUUCAAUAUUGGAAAAAUUUUGAAUUCUUGGCAAUGUGAUAAAUAAAUACAAUUUGAAAUUUUUUUAAUAUAUUAUUUUAGUUUCUACUGUUUUUUCACUUUAAUUCUUAAAUUUUUUUUUACCAUGAUUUGUACUAAAAGGCUUUUUUUUCUAGUGACCAAAAUGAAAGCAAUAUAAAUGUUGGGUGACUAAAAUAAAAAUGUGAACAUGAUAUGGGGUGUAUAGUUAAUCAACGUUAAAAACUUAACGGUUGGGUAACUAAAAUGAAAGUACCUAAAAGUUAAGUGAUGAAAUUGUAACGAUUUCAUUUUGAACGACUAAAAUAAAAGCAUCUUAAAAGUUUGGUAAACAUAAUGAUAUAUGUGUAUUUUGUUUAGGUACUUAAAUUAGUGAAUGAUUGUAAAGAAAGAUUAAGAAAAAGAUUGAAAUGAUUUUUUGAAUUAUUCUACAAAGCCUUAAUUAAUUUUUAAAAAUUAUAAAAAAAAAUUAUAGAAAACUAUAUAAGAAUUAUUCACAUGACAAAAAAAAUAUUAAAAUUUUAUAAAAAUAUAAAAAUUGUUGAAAUUUAAACAAUUAUUGUAUUAGUAAUUUUAAAUUUUUUAAUUUUUGUUAAUAAUUUAUAUAUUUUAAAAAAAUUAAAAUUUUAGAAUAAUUUAAUAGUUUUUUGAAAACUUUUUUAGAACUUUUUAAUAAAAAAAUUUACUACUUUUCAAUCAAAAUCAUUAUUCAUCGCUCAAACACUCACAUUUAGCCACCAAACAUUGAACUUAUUAUCACUUAAAGUCUGCAUUAACUCCUCAUACAAAAUCGAAGAUUUAAAACCUUUAAAAUAAGAAAAUUUUAAAAAUAUUAUAUUUUUAUAUUUUUAAUAGUUUUAACUAUUUUAAUAAAUUUUAUAUAAAUUUUAUAAAUUUCUAUAGUUUCAUUUAUAAUUUUUCAUGAUGUAUAUAUCUUACAAUUUUCUUGUAUUUUUCAUAAUAUAUGAUAAUAUUUAAUAAAUUUUAUAAUUUUCAAUAUUUUUCUAAAAUUUCUAAAAGAAUUAUAAUAUUUUUAUUUCUUUUCAUGUUUUUCUUAAUAUAUUAAUAAUAUUUUAUAAAAUUUAAUCACUUUUUCUAAUUUAAAUAAUUUUUAAACUUAGAUAAUUAAAAGUUAAUUAAACCCUUAUAUAAUAAUUAAAAAAUCAAUUAAACCCUCCACAUUAGUAAUUUUUCACGACAAAUGUCAUGUUAGUCACCACCUCAUCCUUUUUUUCAUGUUAGUUGUCAUGCCAACAGUUAACGAUUCAGGACUCAAUUGAUUGCUAACUUUUGAAUUCGAAUUUUGAUUAGAUAACUGAUUUAGUUAAAAAUUUAAUUGAUUUUUAAUUUUUUUAAGAUGAUUUUUGUAGCAUUUAGACCUUUUAUUUAAUGUGUUGAUAAUAGAGCUAAUAUAUUUAUAUCGAUUUUGUAUGUAGGCUAGUUAAAAUUUGAAUCUGCAACAUAUAAGGAUUAGUUUAUAUAAAAUAUUUCAUUUAGAAUUAAAUUUAUUUUAUAUAAGGAUUUUUUUUUAAAUGGCAUUAAAUUAAGUUGGAUCGCCGGUGAGCUGUUCUGAAUUUCUUGGAUUUGGGGGUUUGUUACGUGCUUUUUGAGUAUUGGGCCUUUUAUGUUACAUUUUAGUUUCAAGUGUUUUUCCUUUAGUACGUGGUUUCUAAUUUCUAUUUUAUGUAAUUUUGUGUUGUAAUUAAAUAAUUUCAUUAUUAUUAACAAAAAUUACAGGUAAAAGAAAAAAAUUGAAUUAUUAUUAGGUAGGUUGAACUUUCAAACAUCCCACUUCACCUAUUCUCAUAAGUCCAAUCCCACGACUCUAUUAUACCAACCAAUAAAUUUUUCAAUUCCUUGUGUCGUGUUUUUCAUAUAAUAUUGGGUGAUUUAUAUGAUUAGAAUUCAUGUUAAGCCACUGUUUCACAUUAGUUUUAAUCAUUUAUUCAUUCUUUAAUAAUUGUAUUUGAAUAUUUACAUAAAAUUUAAUGUUUUAAUAAUUAGAAAAUAAUUUACGAAAAAUCAUUUUAGCUUUCCAUUUAAUUUUUCGUCCUUUUUUAGUCCUUAAACACGUGUUUCUUGUUAAAUCACCUCAAAAUUAAUGAAAGAAUUAGUAUUUUUUAAUUUUGUUGACGUGACAUAUAAGUGGAUGACAAAGUCAUCAUUUAAUUAAUUUUUAAAAGUUUUAAAAAUUCAAAAAAUUAUUUUUAAAAUUAAAAAUCAUUAAAUCAUUAAUAUUUAUAACAUAAAAAUGAAUAUUUUUAAAUUUUAAAAAAAUUAAUUAAAUGUUGACAUGUCAUUCACAUGGCAAUUCAUGUGUAUGCCACAUUAACAAAGUUAACAAAUAUUAAUUUUUUCAUCUAUUUUGAAGUGAUUUGACAAAAAAUAUAAGUUCAAAAAUUAAAUGAAUGUGUAAAAUAAUUUUCUUUUUUAAAGUUGGAGAGUGAAAUAAAUUAAUAGAGCUUGUAUUUCAACAAAAUCUUAACAUAAUAAUAAAAGUAUUACGUUAUAAAAUAAAUUUGAUUCCAAAUGACAUAAUCCCCACCUCUGCGUUCAUGUUUUUAUAUCAUAUUACAUGAGAUUUUUAAUACAUUAAUUAAAAUGAAGGAAAACUCAAAUCCUCAAUGAAAUAAUAUCUUACUUUAUAGUAUACUAAUUGAUCGCACUAAGGUUAACUAUAUUUUUAUCAUGAUCUACGGAUAAAAUAAAUUAGCGGAAAAAGUAUAAAGCAUCCUUUCGGUUGGUUCCUACGCACGUUCAUCAAUACAAACCGUGUUUCUUUUACAACAUCAAUUGAAUGGAAGAAAAAUAGUUUUAUAGUUUAAAAAUAAAAAAAAAAUAGAAAUUUUAUCACGUGUAAAAACUAUAAAUUUUAAAUAUACAUAUAUAUAUAUGUUUAAAAUAAUAAAACUUAUAACUUGAAAUUAAUUAAUAAUAACAACACAUUAAAUAUGUAUGAUAUUAAAAUAAAAAAUAGAUUAAAUUAUUUAUCACGAUAUUAUUAUUAAUACAUGUGCAAAUAUCACAAAUUUAAAACACAGAUGUGUGUUUAAAAAUAACAUAAAAUAAACAAUGAAAUGUAUGGCUUGAAACAAAUUAGUCAUAAUAAUAUAUGAAAUAUACACAAUGUUAAAAUAAAAAAUUAGAUUAAAUUGUGAGUAAAACAAAAUUUAAAUAGAUAAAUACAUCAUAUUUACAACACCAAAUGCAUUACAAUUGUUUAUUAUGGUGCUGUCAUUAAUUGCAAGUUAGUGUCGGAGUUAGCUUGUAAUACCAAUUCAAUUAACAACAUUAUUAUAGAUAUAGAUAUACAACUGAUGGAGAUAAUAAAUUGUGCAUAUUAAAAUAAAAAUAUAUAAAAUACAUUAAAAUGAAGCUUUGGUUGAUACCAAUCUAAUUGGUAAAUUUAAGGUUAUACCAAUCUAAUUUGUGUGGGUUUAAAUUCUACCGUAUGUAUAUUUUUUUUUAUAUUUUGUUAAAAUAAAAAGACUAAAGUACCUCAAAUAAUAUAAUUUGUUUUAAUUACGAUAGAAUAUUUUCAUAAUUUCCCUAACUGAGUUGAUACUCGGUUGAUUCAUAACAAAAACUUAGUUACGGGCUUAAAUAAUAGUAUAAAUUAAAAUGAAACUUUGAUUAAGUGGUAAAUUUAAAGUUUUACUAAUCUAAUUGGCAUAGAUUCAAAUCCCAUCAUAUGCAUAUUUUACUUUUUAUUAUUUUUUGUUAAAAUAAAAAGACUAAAGUACCAUUAAAUAAUGUAACACGUUUUAAUUAUGGAAGGACAUUUUCGUAGUUUCCCUAUCCGAGUUGGUGCCUGGUUGACUCGUGACACCAACUUAAUUAGGAGCUUAAAUAAUAGUAUAAAUAUACAACUAGUGGAGGUAAUAAAUUGAGCAUAUUACAACAAAAAUGUUAACAAUAUAUUAAUAUUAAGUUUUUAGUUUAGUGGUAAAUCUAAAGUUUUACUAAUUUAUCAAUUGGCCUGGGAUCAAAUCACAUAAUAUAUUUUAUUGGUUUUUUAAAUAAAAAGACUAAAAUACCCUCUAAUAAUAUAAUUUAUUUUAAGGGUAAAUUACACCAAUAGUCACUUAAUUUUGGGGUAGCUGACGAAACAGUCACCUUGGUUUCCUUUCAGUCACUCAACUUUAGAAAAGUGACCAAAUAGUCCUUUUUGCCAUUUUUCGUCACAAACAUCACGACAUAGUGACAUGACAGAUGAUGGCGUGAAAACCUUUCAGUUGGCCGAUUACCACCAAUUUAACAGCCCUAUCAGUACUAAUUUAGGGUUUAAGAAGAGAAAAAA
Molecule: long non-coding RNA, 58846 nt
Filed under: Gossypium barbadense (sea-island cotton)
Lineage: Eukaryota; Viridiplantae; Streptophyta; Magnoliopsida; Malvales; Malvaceae
Description: long non-coding RNA (GBAR_LNC004074)
Source: RNAcentral